RNAcentral lists this long non-coding RNA (59753 nucleotides) under Mytilus galloprovincialis (Mediterranean mussel). The record is from RNAcentral. Lineage: Eukaryota; Metazoa; Mollusca; Bivalvia; Mytilida; Mytilidae.
AAAAGUUGUCACAUAAACAUCUCGAUAGCCGAUCAUGGCAGACCAUAAUAAAGGAGGAUUUAUGCAAAAAGCACAAAAAAAGUUAACGCGCACAAAAACAAAGGUAAGAAAAAAUAUUCUAUUUGCACAAAAACAUUCAACAAUAUUAUUUUCUAUUUUACAAGUCGAGAAAACUUAUGACAUGACGUAAAGGACACAGAAAACACAUCUUCUUUAAACAGGUGUCUGCUAACUUUUGAUUGUCCCGUUGUUCACGAAUGCGUGAAAAUUGUGUCAACUUCCUAAAGUAUUUACUUAUUGUAUUUAUUCAGAGAUUUUAAAUAUUUAUCUAUUCAGUGUAUCAAAAUUCCAUAUGUUCAUUGUAUACAAGAUACUUUUUAGUGUACUUUUUUUUUUAAUAUUUAUUUUACUGUUGACGCACGCGGAAGUCAAAUCCGUGUUGUUUGUAUCGUUUAUCAAAAUACUACAAUUAUUGAAUUAUUGAUAAACUUUGACAGCUUCAUAAUAAGAUUGCUCUUGGGUAUUGUAGUUUCUUACAUAUCCGUAUGACAGUUAAAUCACCCAAGAUGUUUAUAGAAGAUAUUACACCCUUGUGAAGAGAGAAGUUAUAAUCUUCUUAUAAAUAAAUCACUCUGGGCUCAUAAUUGUUGGAAGAAAAUCUAUUUGAUUUCAUAGUAAUAUUGACAACAUCAAUCUAGGAAUUGAAGCAGGAACUGCUCUGAAUCAAUCCAUACAGUGGUGUAUAUAUAUAUAUAUAUAUGUCAGUGGUCUUUUUUCUUUUACAUUAAAUCACUGUGUAUACAUACAUGUACAAAUGUAGUUGACAAGGACAUGAUUAUCUUUAUGUUCAAGAUCAUUUCAUCUAAUAUGCAAUUUGAAUAAAUUCUUUGACAAAUCUCUAAAUUCUGUUUUAUCUUUUGAUAAAUAAUAUGAAUAUUAUCAAAGAAUUUAUACUUGUUAUAGAAAAAGAUUCAAAUUGCAUAUUAGAUGCAAUAUUCUUUAACAUAUUAUAGAUUUUUAAGAAAGUAGCAGAAUUUUCAGUUAGUGCAGUAUUGAAAUGUCCAAGCAAAUUAUGAUUUUAUACACCAGCAGAGGCUUCUUAUGGUAUUAAAUGCCUCUGCCACCAGCCAUUUAUUCUUUAAAUUUACAACAGUGUUUACAGUUUUUAAUAAUAAUUUUAUUCAUGACUACAUUUGAAAUUGCUAUAAGCAUACUAAGUAGUUAUAUUUCUAAUGGUCAAAAGUACUAAAAAUAGACAUACAUUUAGAAAUAGUCACAUCAUUUACCAAGAAAUAUGUAACCUGUCAUAUUCCAGGUUGGCAUAUACAAAUAUAUAUCUUGACAUAAAAAGUAUAAGGUGUGGAGGUGUUCUGCCCACCAGAACAUAACAUACCAUUUAAAUAACAAUCAUAAAGGCACCAAUAAAUAAAACAAAUUAGAGAGGGAGUGUAUUGGUCAAUGUUCGGUCAUCAGACAAUUCUGACACAUUAGAAAUACUGAAGUUGAAUUGAUUGACAGUGACACUAUAAUCCUUGUAAAUUUUAACAUGUAUACAUGUACAUGUAUAUAUUCAGGUCAUUUGAAAAGUAAUAUUUUUAGACCAUACAUCCUUAGUUAAAGAAUAGACAAUUCAAUAACAAUUUAAUUUUAAAGCAAACUGAGUAGUUAUAUUUGUAAUGUAUUGAUCAAUACGUAUUUAUCAACUAAGCCUUUAAGGUCAGCUUUGCUGGUUUGCCUGAGCCUCAUGAUCACAGUUGAAAACUCCAAGUCUCAAUUUUAGACUAAUAUUAAUUUAAGUACAAAUACACAUGUAUAUUAUUUAUGUAAGAGAAUCUACAACAUGUUUUUUAGAAGUACCUUAAAAGUUUUCUAAUAGCACUAGUCUUUCUUCUCUGGAAAUAAAUGUAAAAUCUGUUCAACAUUAAUAUUCAAAGCAUGUCAUCAACAAAAACUUCUACAUGUCAUGCAUGUGUGUGACAGUGUUUUUAUUGAACCUCACAGUUUCAAGUCAUAGAGUACUUAUCCUUAAGGACUACCAAAAAGUUCAUGUAAUGUUACAGUAAAACAUUUAUAUACAGAUGAUAAAUUUAAUUUGUUUAUAUGUUAUCUAGAACAUGUGUGAAAUAUUUACCUCCGUUGGUUUCAUUUAUUCAAUAAUUUGAAAAAUUUGGUUUCGAAAUUGAAAAAUUAGGUCUAAGUGAAAUAUUUACAUAUAAAUAUUAAAAGAAGAACAAACAAACAAAUAAAAAAAGAAAAACAAAUGAUAGAACUGUCAUCAUUAAUGAUAGGUAGACAGAUUUCUGUUAAGUCUGCUAUGGUAGGUGUAGCUUGUUUUGUGAAUGACUAGAGGCAAUAGACCGUUGAUGAAUGACUUGUAGUACUUUAAGGUGUAAAACUGCAUAAAAAUACAAUAUUAUACCUUCUAGGUGUAAAUUAUAUUUAAUUACACAGGAGAAAAUCUUUUGUAUUUUAAAUUUGAUGAUCUAGAAGUUGAAAAUUUUGAUAAAUGAAUGAUCAUAAAAAAAGUAUUUUGGUAAUAAAAAUUAUAUUUCAUCUAGUAUAAAAAAAUCUGGUUGCAAAUGAGACAACUAUCUAUCAGAGACCAAAUCAUAAAAUGAUUGAUUGUAAACAACUAUACAAUGUAGGUCACCAUGCAUGCCAUAAAGCCUUCACCAAUGAGCAAAGCCAUAGGUAUGAUAAACUAUAAACUUGAUAAAAGGCUCUGAUAUUCAAGACAAAAUACAAUGUAUAUAAAACAAUUCAAACUAGAAAACCAUUGAGCAUCCUGAUAAGGAUAGAACAAUAAGCAACAAAAAACACUACAAUACAAAACCAGUGGCGGAUCCAGAACUUUUCAUUAAGGGGGGUGGGGGGUGACUGACCUAAGGGGGGCCGCUUCAGUCAUACUUCAGUGAUUUCCUAUAUAAUCAACCAAAUUUUCCCACAAAAGGGGAGGCCCCCUGGAUCCCCCUAUGAAAACAGGAUUCAAUGACAACUGCUGAAUCAAUGCAUAUGGCUCUUCACUUGGGGCAGGCUUUUUUUCAUAUUUAUUAUAUCUUACACUGUCUUAUCAUAUUGAGCCAUAUAACGUAUUUACAUCCAUCCAAUAUAUUUUUCUUUAUUAGACUUCAAUACAUAAACAUGAUAAAAAAUCUUGGACAAUUUGAUAACAAUUUCCCUAGGUUUCUAACAAAUGCAUAACUAUUUUAAUACAAAGUUCAUAUCUAACAGUUAAUAUUUUAUCCACUGCAAUGUACAAGUACGAUAAAAUGCACCAAAGUUAUAAAUCUGCUGUCCAUUGCCAUUAUUAUUGUUUGUGUGGAGGAAAAUGAAAAUCCCUACAUGUACAAGUACGAUAAAAUGCACCAAAGUUAUAAAUCUGCUGUCCAUUGCCAUUAUUAUUGUUUAAGUAUUGUGUGGAGGAAAAUGAAAAUCCCUACUGGCUAUAUGUACAAUGAACCUGCACAUGUAUUUGUCUAAUAGACAUAUUUGUGUAAUUUGAAUAUAGAAGUAGGUAAAAAGUUUAUCUGAAUAUCAAUUAUGGAUAGUUGAGUCAAUAAGACAGUGUUUAAUGACUGAUAAAUGGUAUCAACUUCUAAAUUCUUUCAAAUACAAGAUAAUUUCAGAGCUGAAAUAUAACAAGAUAUCUCCCCACUCUAUAUCAGACUAGUCAUAACAGUACAUUUAGACCUAAUUUGGAAAUGAAAGUAUAAUUGUAACUCUAAUAAACAAUACUUUUAAUAUUAAUACAAUAAUGUACUGGUGUACAUGUACCAAGUAUCGCAUUCAGUUUAAACAUGUUAAACAACUGCAUUGUAAAUUAAAAGUAAGAAAGCUACAUGUACAAACAAUAUAAGUCUUCUUGAAAUACAUGUAAUGGAAAUAUAAAGGAAAAAUCCAAUUUGCAAACAAUAAAACCAGUGCAAACUUAUGUUAUGCAGUGUCUGAGAUAUUAUUUGAUUGGAUGUAUUCUAGUCAUUUUUAAUCAUUUUUUUAUUGUACUGCAUGGUUCAAAUAAUAUUUUGAACUUUCAAAGAUCCAAUUUAAAAAAAAAUUUCUUCCUAUUUUAUAGGUGAGUGAUGCUUUAGUACACGCUUUAAUAGAAAAGUAUUUCAGUUAUCCUGAAGUCAGUCAAAUGCACCUAGUCCACUUUGAUUAUAGUCAUCAGUGCAUGAUUACAACACUGCAGAAAAAAAUGCAUGUAAUGUGAAAAAUUGCUUUAGGGUAAACAUUAUUAAUAAAUAAUGGAUAAUAAUUUUCACCUAUCCUGUGCACUAUUAUAUACAAUGACAUCAUACUAUUAAAUCAAUGGUAGCAUGUUACAUGACAUUAACCGAAGGUGGUACCUCUCGUGUCAGAUCAGUAUUUUUGGGAAAAAAAUGAUAUGGACACAGGGAUCUCCAUGGCCUGUUUAACAAUGGCGCCCCGCCAUUGUUCAAAUGUCUUGCACCAUCUUCAAAUGACCCGCUCCAUCUUAAAACUGUCUUCCGCCAUCGUUCAAAACUGUUAUCGUUUUUAUAGCUCAACGCCAUUAUUUUAGCAAUUUGAAUCAAAAGCAGGUAAUUGCAUAACCCUAGGCUUUUUUUAAUAUUAUAAUCCAAUAUAGUUCUAACGUCUGAGGGAUAUUUAGAUUAAGAUCGCUUAUCACUUGUACCUGAGCUUGUACAGGUAGAUCAACAAAUCAGACAGGAGAAUGCUAUCUGAAUUCAUUUGUCAUUAUUCAAUAAGUUUCCGCAAAUGCUUAUUACCGGUAAUGUCUAAUGGGUUCAUGACUUCUGAAUUUGACAGUGUCCGUGAAAAAUAAGCUCCACAUGAUUUUUAACCCCCAUAACAAUUACCAAAAAUAGCAAGAAAACUACAUGAGAACCUUCAUGACAGCUUUUGGUCAUUCUCUACUAAGGGGGUGGAGCCAAAAAGGCUUGGCAUUUGAAUGGUUUCAAACGGCAAUUAAUGAAUUAUUAUAAAUAUUGAUACUUCUAUAAUGAAAACUCAAAUAAAUAUUAUUUAAAUAAGCAAUGAAUUAGCAUGUUCACCAUUCCUUAUAUGGAAGGACGAAAUACUUUCGAUCGCGCUACACUUGGGGGUAGACACGGUUUGUGAUGGUGAAAGUUCCUCCAUCAUUCAUAAUUUUCAUCCAUGGAGAUCCCUGGGACAUCUGCUCUUGAUGGUACAUUGUGUCUCUCCUGAGAGAUUUCUCAACACUUUUUUUCCAUCUUACCAUCAGUUGACUACAAAUAUCUGUUAAUCCUAUAAAAUUAUGAAAGCAGUGUUCAUAAAAUAAGAAGAUGGGGUAUGAUUGUCAAUGAGAUCACUGUCCUCCAUAGACCAAAUAACAUGGAUGUGUAACACCACAUUUUGGUCUUCAAUAUGAACAAAUCUAUAUUGUACAGUCAACUAUUUAACAGUGGCAGAUCCAGGGGGAGGGUUCUGGGGGUUGGAACCCCCUUUUCUUUGGACAAUCAAUGCAUUUGAAUGGGGACAUAUAGUUGGAACCCCCCUUUGUCCUGGGUUUGGAACCCCCCCUUUUUAAAAUGGUUGGAUCCACCACUGUUUAAAUAGGACCUAACAGUCAUGACAGUUCAAAGAAUAGUGCAUCUUGAUAUACAGAAGUAUUUUGCUUUACUUGCAUAAUAUCCAGCAUUAUGAGAUGAUAUUGGCUAUUGGUCAUUGAUAACUUUCAAAGAAGUUAAAAAAAUAUAACAGAAAAAGGUUUUAGCACAUAACACAUGUUAAAAAAUAGACACUCUCAGUUCUUAUAAGCUGUUUCUAUAUUUAAUGUGCAUGAUUAUAACAUUGCUGUCUUGUUGGCGACAAGACAAAUUCUGUGUAUUACAAAAAAGUACAUCUAUUGUACUUAUGUCCCUUAAUGUAAAACAUAUAAGUCGACUAAAACUUGCAAGGCUUAGAGUACACUUAUACACAUCCUGCAAAUUUAGAUCAAGCCUUUUUCAAUUGAUAACAUUAUGUUCAAAAGUAGUUACAUAUACUGUAUAUAUAAAAUUAUAUAUGAUAUACAUGUUUUAGUUGUUAACUGCAACAUUAUUACAUAUAACGUUUAGAUUAAAAAAAAAAAAAGCAAUUAUUAAUGCAAAUGAUAUUUGAUAAACUAUUUCACAAUUUAAUAUUUUAAUAUUUUUUUACUUCUGCUUAAAAUUAUUAUAUAACCUCAUUCUUAAUGAGUAUCUUAAGCUUGUAUGCUAAGAUUUGCUUUUAAUUGUCAUCCUUUAACUUUGGGUUUCUCAUAUGAUUAAUUCAACAUGUUAAAUUGUUACCAAUAGAUCCAAAACCCUUAGAGAAACCACAUGUUUUUAGUAUUGGGCCAUUGGUAGAUAGGAUCAUGUCUCAUUGACAAUCUAUAGUGUGAGAAGUAAAGAAAGGGGUAACUUUUUGUCAAUAAUUUUCAUAUAUUUGUGGAACCAUUAUUAUUCUUGGGAUACCAAUUUUUAUGGAUAAUAUGGGUGUACAGGUGAACCAAUAAUUUAAAUAUUUAAUGAAAGACAAAUUUCUCAUACUCUUGUUUGGGCCACAAUUAAAAAUAUUUUGGUUUGCCCAAACACUACCCAAGGUUAAGACAGUGGGUAGGUAGGUAGGUAUUUUUUUUUUUUUAAAGAAAUUGAAGUGUCGGAUGUUAAUUAGUCUUCAUGCCUAUCCGAUUAAAAAAAACUUCUUCAAAUCAGGACAAUAAAAGAAUUUGAGUAGGCAGCUUUUUUUCUGGGAAGGUAGGGUUUGGGCAAACAAACCUAUUCUUUUUUAUGGCCUUGUAGACUCUGGCAAAACAAUUACCAGGAUUCUCACAAAAGAAAUCAAAGUUACUCAAUUUUAUUACGGCACAAUAUAUACACAAGACAAACAGAUAUAUUUUCACAGCAAGGACAAACACUCGACAUACCACUGGACCACAUAAACAUGUAAAGUUAAUGUUAAAGAGCAAAUAUAGCGUCUAGCCAUUAGAAAUGAUAAAUAUAUUCAUCCAAACAGCUCGAAUAAACACAUGAGCUAGCCACAGUAUACACAAGCAUCUUAUAAAUAAGUACAUAAAUACAAUAAAUUCAUAACUAACACAGUUAUGUGGCUGGGGAGGGUAAAUAAAUUUCAAUGAAAAAUUUUCAAUGUACCGCGAAUCCCGAAACAAAGAAAUAUAUAUAAGAGCGUCCUGUUCCAGGUAACAAAUUGACCAAUCAAAAUAAGGAAAUACUCGGAACAAUUUCUUCCGAGUAAAUGUAAACAGUGAUUCACGUGGUAAUUAUCCAUUUUUAUAAAAUCAAAAAUUACACCACAAAAUCAAAUAUCCAAAAAAUACAAUUUUACAGUAUCAUAAUGUCAGUCAUUGCAUUUACUUAUAUUUUUAGUGAAUACAUUAUACAUAUCAUGUGCAUAUAAAGACAUGUAUAACUAAGGAAAUUGAUACUUCAGUCAUUUCUUAAAAGUAAGAAAAAAAAAGAUAGAUAAAGAUUAUAAUGCUUCCUUAAUAUUGUAAAUUGUAACUAUGUUAAAACUAUAGUGAGUAGAACAAUGCAUAAUUGAUUUUUGUUCAAAAAAACAAACUUUAUAAGGAAAUAAAAUAUGACAACUUGUAAACAAUUCUGAAGUAAAUUUAUUACUGUAAAACAAUAAAGAUUGUUUAAAUUAAAAAAAAUAAUGUUAAACUUAAUUAAAAUCUUAAUGCUGAGAGUUCAUUCCUUCAAUUUUGAAAUUAUAAAUGCUGUAAGUAACUCCUCUUUGCUAGCCAUAAGAUUAUACAACUCUAAGGUCCCCUUCUCUUUGAGGAGAUGGGAUUAAUAGAUCAUAACUCUCGGCUAGCAAAGAUGUAGGUUACUGUGAUCUCCUUAUUAAUUUUGGGGUACCAAUAUUUGCUGAUGUAGUUGGUAUAGGUUAACAAUGAAUAAAAAUGUUAAACUAAGUACGAUUCAAUGUUCCAUAUGCUUGUCUGUUACUUCAAUUGAAGCUGACACUAGGUAUGAUAUAUCCCUGAAGAUACAAGAUAAUUUCUUUAAUUCAUGAAAUAAGUACAUAGGAAAAUAAAUCACUCCAAAGUUGCGCAGUCCAGUCAGUACAUGGCCUUGCGUAAUUUGUGAUUAUAGCUUUCAUUAAGUUAUUAAUUAUGCUGAUAUACCGAUAAUUAUACAUGUUUACAACUGAUAAAUCAUACGAAUUUAAACCCUUACAAAUAUGUGCGUCAAAAGUGCUUUUCCGAAUUUUCUUUCAUCUGUGAGUAACACUUAACAUUUGAAAAGUAGGGAUAGGAAAAUGUCAAAACUUUAGGAGUUAUAUAUGACCAAAAACAUAUAAUGUAUAUAUCCAGAAUUGCCAAAUUCCUCUUUGGUCAACUUUGCCUGAAGGAGUUGGAACCUUAGUUCAUAUUAAAUAAUUUCUGAAAAGGGAAUUCUUCACUUAGUGACUAUAGACACAUGUACAGUGCCAUUGCAAUCAAAAAACUAAUUUCUGUCGAGAUGAACAUGAUGAAGGGUUAAGAAAAUAUAAUAUUAUUUUACACUAUGUUAAUUGCCUUCUGUGCAGCUUCAGUUGCAAUCUCUUCCCUGAAAAUAGAACAAAAAUGUUUAAUCAUUAGUUCAUUUGUGUCGUUUGCAAUUGUUCAUUUCUUUCUGGGACUUGAAUUCAAUACUAUUUUUUACCAAGAAUGUUUUUAUCAAGGUUAUAUGCAAGUUUUUGCAAUUUGAACUGACCUUGCAAAUUUACAUAUCUACAGUACAUUCUAUAUACGAUGUAUACCUGUAGAAUGUAUCAGGAAUAGACUAUAAAAGUAAUAUAGUUUGUGAAAGAUGAUAGCCAGGUAAAUUUCACACUUUGAAAAUCUGAAAUUUAACCAUGUAAUUGUCUGAACAAUUUAAAAAGGGGAUAAUAAAGAAAAGCCAUUAACUUCUGAUUCAUUUGAUUAAGUGGACUACCCUGGAAGCAUAUGGCCUUUAAAGGCUAAUACAGGUGAAAAGGUUCACCUUAAAGUACCGUAACUGAUGCUAUUCAUUCCAUGCUACAUGUAUUAAAAAAUUCCAUAUUCUGUAUAUUAAAGAAAUGGCCAAAUGUAAAUGGUCUAAUGAUUGAAUUGAAGUGUACUGGUACUAAGUACUAAUAUUUUCUCUUUAUGAAGUAAUUGAUUUGUCCUUCUAUUUCUUAUUUAUUUAACCUUUUUAACACUGGACUCUUUGGUCAUUAGUUGUAUUCUAAGGAUCAUAAAACUAUAGAUCCUAAACAGUUGAUCUAAAAGCACACAAUGGAUUUUUUUUUAAAUGACCAAAAAAAAUCAAAUCAUCCUUAAACUUUAUUCACAUAUUCAAAUGUGGGAAUACAAGCUAUAAAUGCUUUUGCAUGCCUGGAAUAAUUUUAUAAUUUGUAAUACAUUUGAGGUUAAUUUGUAAUAAUUGUAUGAAGAGUCUUGAUGGGUUUUUCAGUUGAACUAAAAGGUCAAUGACUUUGCAGCAAAACGAUUCAUUUACAUGUAAUCUUGUAGACAUACCUGUAUUCAUAAAAUUUUACUUUCUGUGGAGAGUCCACACCACUAUUGCAUGACAUAGGGUUAAAAAUGAUUUGUUUAAGGAGUAGCAUCUUGGGAUAAACUCAAGUAGAGCUAUCAAAACUGGUACAUGUACUUGGACUUAGAACUCAAGAUUUGGGGUAAACAUGUAUUUAUGAAACAUCAAACAACUUCUAACUCUAAGCCCCAAUGCGUCUGUGCUAUGAGCCUAUGUUUGAAAAAUAAGUAUGUUUUAUAUAGAAGUAGCUAAUUAGAUUACCAUUUUAAUUUCACCAAGAGUGAACAGGGCCGUAACUACAAUGAGGCAAAUGAGGCAAUGCCUCAUGUUUUAAAUAUCAAAAAAAAAAACUAAAACAAAAGAUUGUAUUCAAAUGAUUGUCUUCAUAUCAAAUUGUUUUCACUGAAAGUGUCUUGAAAGAAGCAAGUUCUCUUCACUCUCUGAUGUCGCCCCUGCAUAUUUUUCGUAAUCCAUGUUUCUAUUUUACUUUUGGUUUUCAGGGUUGAUGGUCUAUUGUUUGGACUUCUGUGUCUCGGGUUUGUCUUUUGUUCAUUUAUUGUCCUACUUAAUGACUAGUCUGAGUGUUGAUUUUCAUUUGUAAACGUGUCACACUGUGUAAUGUUGCAUGUCCACCGAUGUCCAGGCAUUAUGCGAGAAAUGUUUUAAGAAUAUACGAUGCUACUGGACACAGACAAAAGUGGUUGUUUCUGCAUGGAGAAUUGAACUUGAUAUCAAAGAAUACGAAACUGCCUUUCUUGUAUAUAAAACCAUACCCAAUUUUCUUAGUAUGGAUUGCAAAAUUAGGUAUUUUCUGUAGGUGAGAUAUGCACAAAAGUGAUAAAUAUGUAUUAUAAAUAGAAAAUUGAAUAUCUUAAUCAACAAAAAAAUAAAAAAAAUAACUGUCACUAUCAUAUACCCAAGCGCCUGUGGAUAAAACUAGAUAGCUGACAUGGUUUAAAUUAAAGUAAGACCACCAAUUUCCCGGUAUCAAAUCAUUUGUUGAAAAAAAACAUCAAUGUAUUGCCAUAUGACCUUUUACAUUCAAGGGUUAAAUUUACAUUAAGUCGUGUUCAGAACCUUUAACAGAAAAUAAAGGAAUAUGAAGUACACGUGCACGGGAGCUAAUCACACACAAUGUCAAUGUAUAGAAAACAAUACAAAUGAUCAAUGGUCAAAGUUUGUAUUCCUGUUCUUCAUCUUGAUUUUUGCUGGAGGGUCUUCAAUAAUGAAAGAAUCAUAAAUACCGUAAAACAAGGUCAAUAUGGUCCCUAGUGUCGACUUGAGCAGUACUAGUAUUUAACGUAUAUUACUGCACUAAUGACUGUCACUAUAUUUAAAUCUAGUCUUAAAAAAUCUCAAGUCAGCACAAUACAAGACAAGAACAGACAGACAGAUCCGGUAUUAAUGAUUAUGAGAAUUACGAUUUUUGCUUUAUCCUACACAUCGGUCUUUUAAUGUUUUGAAUUUCCCUAAAACUUUAAAGUCUUAAAUAACAAUGAAUCUAUGUUUUUGCUUUGAUCCCAGAAUAUUGUCAAAAAAAUAGCUAAAAAUGAUUUGCGUUUGUAUGUAAGAAAGAGUCUGUGAAACGCUCAGAAUGCACGAUUUUGUGUUAUUUUUCUCAGAGCUUCUGGGGGCCUUAAGCGGCCCCAAGACCCCUCGCCAAAUUUUUUUCGCCUCGCUACGCUCGGCAAAUAUAUUUUGCCUCAGUAUUAAAAGGGGAUAGUUACGGCCCUGGUGAACAUGCUACCAUAACACACAGACAUUUCAUGAUUUGACAAAGGAGGUUAUAAAUUUUGGUUUAAUUUACCGAUAAAGUUGUUAGGAUGUAUAGCAAAACUUGAUUAAGAGGGCUUACAUAGACUAUGCAUGUUACCCAUGCCAAUCCAAUUCAAUUUAUUUGAAUAAAAUACUGUUGAAACUAAACUAAAACUAAAAAUUUGUUAUUGUAUAUAUUUAUCUCUCAAUUUGGUGGUUUGUGAUCAUUGACCUUGAUUUGAAAUGUCAAUGAAGGGCUUCAGAUUAAUGCGAUUGACUGGAGGAAAUUUAUUUACUCUUUAUAGGAAUAUACAUCUUAAUUUCAGAUUUUAUGAUAAUUUUCUUUGAUUUAACUUGAAAGGCAGAGCUAUAAUUUCUGUAGGGCCUGAAUAGAAAUCUAAAUAGAAGUAUCCAAGCAUACACAAUUUUGUUUUCCAACCUCAGCUCACUGUAUUGGCCUUAAACAUGUUAAAGACAAAUAUUCUGGCCAAGAAAAACUUUCACAUUGACAAAAAAAACCAUGAAAUUAUAAAUGCUUGAUUUUUGUUAUUGGUUCAUCAGUUCACUUUUCCACAUUUAAUCCUCUUCCAAGUAAAACCAUUGCAGCAGUAAUAAAUGAUAGGUUUUGAACUUGCGACACCAAAGGAAAAAUCAAUUGAUUAUAUAGAUGAUAAAAAUCACUAUGUCAAAUACUUUGAAGCCUCUAUUUAAGGAAAUAAUGUUAGAUAACUCCUUUGUUUUGUUUGAAAUUUCACAAUAUGCAUUUGAAAGUCAUAUUUCCAAAAAAAUAUAAUACCGACUGUGGCAAAAUCUAAAAUGGAAGAUAUUCUAUGUUCUGCCAGAAAAUUGUCCAUCCAUUCUAACAGAAAAAUGUACAAACCAUAAGAUCUUACCAAAAAAUUACAUGAAAAACCCAACAUCAUAAACAAGUUUAUGAAAUAUUUGUGUUCAAAAUGUAUUGUGACAUUUCAUUUUCUGUUUGCUAUGUUUCAUUGGUGAAACCAUGGAAAUAUUAUAAUUAUCACUCAGUUUUUUACACUACAGCUCAGAUGGAUUUUGCUUUGAGUGGGUACCAGUAGGCAAAAUUUAAACUUGACCACUCUGCCCUGUCACCCAUAGGAGUGGGGCCUCUGUCAGGCAUGCAAUUUCUUUUGGUGAAUCAAAAGACUUGCAAGUACAAUCAAUUGAAAAAAGCAGAUAAGCAUUCAUGAUUGGUAAUCAAUAUUUUUACAAAAAAGAGAUUAUUAUAAGCUAGAGUGGGUACCAGGUGGGCAGGUGGAAAAAGCAAAAUCCACAUGGGUAACAUAUUGUUGUGUCAUUUUACUUCCAGGAUGAAAACAAUCUCCAAACUAAAACAUGACUUCAUAAUACUAGUAGAGUUCUGGAUCAAUACUAUUACUCCAUGCUUGAUGUGUAAUCGAAGAUCUUUUUCAGAAACUGGAAUUUUUAUCUUUUAAAAAUACUUUUACCUUGUUUUACCUGUGGGAUCCUAAUUGAAGUUAGCACACUACAAUUCCAAACCAAUCAGCUAAUGAAUAAUGUAACUGGUCAUCAGUGGAAACCCCCUUCCCAUUGGUGGUGCCAGUCUCUUGACCUUUCCAUUGGUGGUGCCAGUCUCUUGACCAAAUAUGGACUGUAGUCCGAGGUCAGAUGGACACGGCGGCAAUCCAACUGCAGUCUGGCAUGCAAAGAUAAUUAUUGAUCAAUACUCCCCUUUGAUGCAAACGGCAGAGUUAAUUUUAUUUUGAUUAAUGAUAUAUUUAAAAUAAAUACCCCCUUGAUGUGUAACCGAAGAUCUUUUUCAGAAACUGUACUUAUCUUAAAUACUUUUACCUUGUCUUACCUUGGUCAACAUUUACAAUUAAUUCUCCAUAGAUGGUAAUGGUAACGUUUUCCGCCGUUGCUCAGUCCAUAUCGUUUACUUGAACAUGUAUGAUGGCUCAUGUCGAAGCUGCUACAUUUAUACAUGUCUGGUUAAAUUUUCGGGGUGGCAAGUGAGAUUACUUUUUUCGCAAAUUGCUGGACCCCGGAAGAUAUUGAAAAAUGUCCCUCUCCUCAUGAAAUAAUCCCAAAAUUCUGAUCAUAAAAUUCAAUAAAAAAAUGUCCUUUCUAAUAAUUUAUUUCAGGUCAAAUGUACAUAUUUCUUUUCUCAUCACAUCAGCUCUAUAAAACAGUUCUUAUUGUUCAUUUAUGUCCAUUUUUAAAAUCACAGCAUCCACAAUUGUAUGGCGGACUAAUAUUUUUUUUAAUUGUGUCAUCUGAGUUCCUCAUAUCAAGGUCUAUUAGGGAUCUUGACCCACCUGUGGGAUUCCAACCCAUAGAUUUUCUAAACUAACCCUUACAUAAGCCCAGAGAUAGACAAAACCCUUACCAAAUUCCUAACUAUAAAUGAACCCUCAACCUAAAGAACAAGGACCCCUAAAGUAUUUAAGAAUGUUAGGAUGAAAAGCAAAUUCAAAACUGUAAACAUGAAUAAACAAAUAUAAAUAAGAAAGUGAAGUAUGAUUGGCAAUGAGACAACUUUCCUGCAUUGUAUAUAGAACAAGGAAGAAAAUAGGUCACUAUGUUGGCUUUUUUUAAUUAAAAGUUUCUUAUCAUGACUAUUAAUUAGCAUUGUCUUGCAAUCCAUCUUUAGCCUAUGUAAAUAGAUUGCACUUCAAAUGAAAAUUAGCACAGUUAAUGAAUGUUUCAUUAAGUCAAAGGUGACAAGUAAUAGAAAAGAUCAAAGGUGAUCUUGUUACCUUUAUACACCUUUAAAUACCAUUACUCUGACAGGGACAUGGCCAUUAUCAUCCCCUACAACAUCAACAUUGUGUCUUUUAUGUUUGUAUACCUGUGUUUUUACCUGUCAAUUAGAUGACCUUUAACUUGUUACACCUGUAAGCUUAGCCACAAAUAUGUAAUAGGACUGUACCAAAUCACUGAUGUUCAAACAUUAGGAGUGAUAGAUGACUGAUUUCUAAUUGUAUAGAUUAAUAUUAUUACCUAAUACAAAGUAAUGAUGUAUAAUGAUUACUUACAUUAAAACCAGAAAUCUAUAGUGCAACCUAAAAUUAUACAGUAAAACCAAAAAUGUAUAAUAUUACAUAAAAGUUAUACCUUUCCUGAAUUUGUAUCUAAUGAUAUUUCCCUUGAGAAAUAUAUAAGUUACACCUCUCUAGAUAAAGUUAACUUGGAUAUUUCCCUCUAAUGACCAGUCCAUAAAAGGAUCAAGUAUCCACCUUUGGAAAGAAAUCUGUAUGGUUUCGCUAUUAAUGCCUGAUAUAUAUACAUGCAGGUAUCUUUUAGAAGAGUGUGUCUAGUAUUCUAAACUAGAAGCCUUAUAUCUGAGUUUUUUUGUAUUAGGAAAAUGUGAUUUUAAAAAACGAAAGUAAAGUUUUUGACAACAGCAUUUUGCACAAAUAAGGAGUCAAAGGCAGAUAUGAGCACGCUGAUGUGCACACUUUGAAUGAUGCACUGCCAAUUUAACAAUUUACGUCAGAACAUCAAAUUCAUUUCAAAGUAAGAUUAAAAAUUGUUUUUUUGUCGAACCUGCAACUUUUGUUGCAGAAAGCUUGACAUAGGAAUAGUGAUCCGGCAGUGGCGGCGGCAUUAGCUUACUUCUUAAAAGCUUUAUAUUAUAGAAGGUGGGAGACUUGGAUGCUUCAUACUUUGUAUAUAGAUGCCUCAUGUUACGAACUUUCCGUCAGUCACAUGUCCAAUGUCCUUGACCUCAUUUUCAUGGUUAAGGGACUAUUAAAAAAAAGUGUAAGAUUUUUUGUAAUGUUAAAUUCUCUCUUAUUAUAAGUAAUAGGAUAACUAUAUCUAAUAUGUGCGUACCUUGAAAGGUCCUCAUGCCUGUCAGACAGUUUUCACUUGACCUCGACCUCAUUUCAUGGAUCAGUGAACAAGGUUAAGUUUUUGUGGUCAAGUCCAUAUCUCAGAUACUAUAAUCAGAAGGUCUAGUAUAUUCGGUGUAUGGAAGGACUGUAAGGUGUACAUGUCCAACUGGCAGGUGUCAUCUGACCUUGACCUCAUUUUCAUGGUUCAGUGGUUAUAGUUAAGUUUUGUGUUUUGGUCUGUUUUUCUGAUACUAUAUGCAAUAGGUCUACUAUAUUUGGUGUAUGGAAUGAUUGUAAGGUACAUGUCUAGCUGACAGAUGUCAUCUGACCUUGACCUCAUUUUCAUGGUUCAGUGGUCAAAGUUAAGUUUUUGAGUUUUGGUCUUUUUUCCUAAUACUAUAUGCAAUAGGUCAACAAUAUUUGGUGUAUGGAAAUAUUUUAUGAUCUACAUGUCAGUCGCGCAGGUUUUGUUUCACCUUGACCUCAUUUUCAUGGUUCAUUGCUAAGUGUUAAAUAUUUGUGUUUCGGUCUGUUUUUCUUAAACUAUAAGCACUAUAUCAACUACAUUUGUUGUAUGGAAGAAUUGUUAGCUGUACAUGUCUGCCUCAGGCAUGGUUCAUCUGACCUUAACCUCAUUUUCAUGGUUCAUUGAUCAAUGUUUAGUUUUCUUGGUUAAUGUUGAGUUUAUGUGACAAUUGUAAUAAAGCUAUAUAUUUAGGACUAGAAUCAACAUAAUAUCAAUGAUUAGUAAAGAAGGCGAGACAUUUCAGCGUGUGCACUCUUGUUUUAAACUAAUAACAAUCAUUGGGAUGGCCAUCUGAUUACCAUAUAUAUAAUUGCCUUUUGUGACCUAGUCUUAAGGGAUUAAAAUCGGGAUUGUAUAUAAAAUGUUUGGCUGGCUCAAAUAUUUUUUGGAAGCCCGGGGCAGAUCCAGCUAUUUAAAAAAGGGGGUUCAAACCCAGUAGAAUUGCAUCCAUCAUAAAAAAAAAGGGGGGGGGAUUCCAACCCCCAGAACCUUUCCCCUAGAUCUGACACUGCCAUUGCUUGUGUAUCUUUCCAUUAUUUAGAGUAUUAUCAGUCCUGUAGUCACCAAAAGAUAUACAAGCCUGUGCUGACAUGAGCUAUCAUUGUCAAUUUGAUGUGUUAUAUGUGUAAACAUGAUAGUAUUUUGGGUACUGAAUGCAGCUGAGAUUUCAAACAUUUGAUACCCCAUUCUUAAUUUCAUAUAUUGAAGUCUUUUAAAAAUCUUGACCGAUGAAUAUAUUUCAUGGUAAAAUUUACAUAUUGUUUAAAAAUUAUUUCAUUGAAAGGAUAAAACGGUAAUAUAUAUGUACAGAUAUCUGAUUCAANNNNNNNNNNNNNNNNNNNNNNNNNNNNNNNNNNNNNNNNNNNNNNNNNNNNNNNNNNNNNNNNNNNNNNNNNNNNNNNNNNNNNNNNNNNNNNNNNNNNNNNNNNNNNNNNNNNNNNNNNNNNNNNNNNNNNNNNNNNNNNNNNNNNNNNNNNNNNNNNNNNNNNNNNNNNNNNNNNNNNNNNNNNNNNNNNNNNNNNNNNNNNNNNNNNNNNNNNNNNNNNNNNNNNNNNNNNNNNNNNNNNNNNNNNNNNNNNNNNNNNNNNNNNNNNNNNNNNNNNNNNNNNNNNNNNNNNNNNNNNNNNNNNNNNNNNNNNNNNNNNNNNNNNNNNNNNNNNNNNNNNNNNNNNNNNNNNNNNNNNNNNNNNNNNNNNNNNNNNNNNNNNNNNNNNNNNNNNNNNNNNNNNNNNNNNNNNNNNNNNNNNNNNNNNNNNNNNNNNNNNNNNNNNNNNNNNNNNNNNNNNNNNNNNNNNNNNNNNNNNNNNNNNNNNNNNNNNNNNNNNNNNNNNNNNNNNNNNNNNNNNNNNNNNNNNNNNNNNNNNNNNNNNNNNNNNNNNNNNNNNNNNNNNNNNNNNNNNNNNNNNNNNNNNNNNNNNNNNNNNNNNNNNNNNNNNNNNNNNNNNNNNNNNNNNNNNNNNNNNNNNNNNNNNNNNNNNNNNNNNNNNNNNNNNNNNNNNNNNNNNNNNNNNNNNNNNNNNNNNNNNNNNNNNNNNNNNNNNNNNNNNNNNNNNNNNNNNNNNNNNNNNNNNNNNNNNNNNNNNNNNNNNNNNNNNNNNNNNNNNNNNNNNNNNNNNNNNNNNNNNNNNNNNNNNNNNNNNNNNNNNNNNNNNNNNNNNNNNNNNNNNNNNNNNNNNNNNNNNNNNNNNNNNNNNNNNNNNNNNNNNNNNNNNNNNNNNNNNNNNNNNNNNNNNNNNNNNNNNNNNNNNNNNNNNNNNNNNNNNNNNNNNNNNNNNNNNNNNNNNNNNNNNNNNNNNNNNNNNNNNNNNNNNNNNNNNNNNNNNUAUUGUAAAUUGUAACAUGUUAAAACUAUAGUGAGUGAACAAUGCAUAAUUGAUUUUGUUAAAAAAAACAAACUUUAUAAGGAAAUAAGAGCUUGUUCUUAUGACAACUUGUAAACAAUUCUCAUGUAAAUUUAUUACUGUAAAACAAUAAAGAUUGUUUAAAUUAAAAAAAAUAAUGUUAAACUUAAUUAAAAUCUUAAUGCUGAGAGUUUAUUCCUUCAAUUUUGAAAUUAUAAAUGCUGUAAGUACUCCUCUUUGCCUACCAUAAGAUUAUACAACUCUAAGGUCCCCUUCCUUUGAGGAGAUGGGAUUAAUAGAUCAUAACUCUCGCUAGCUAGAAAAUGUAAGUUUUUGUCACAUACUGCUUGAAGUAUUAUAGAAGGAAACUUUUUUCUGUUGUAAUAUUGUUCACCAUCCACUUUAGGAGUUUUGAUGGGAUAUGUGACCCAUCAAUUGCGCCUAAAACACCAGGGAAACCUUUGUGUUCAAAAAACAUGUCAACUGUCUCUUGCACUUUUAUUCCAGACGGCCAUUUAACUAAUGCGGGAAGCAAAUCUGAACAUAUAAGUGAAGAUGUUCGAUGUAUAAUAGUAUGAACUGUUGCUUCACAUACACCAAAGCUGUCAGCUAAUUCAGUCAAAAAUCUGUUGACAUGAUGCAUAUCUUAUGAAAAUCAGUAGCUGCUUUUCAAUAGAAACUUUCAUGAUGCCACCCUUGAGACCCACCACUAACUGAGGAGAUAAGCUUAGAACUAGUGCAUCAAAUGUUGAUCUGCUCAUUCUAAAACGAUUCUUAAAGUCAUCAGGUGUGUAUCGGGGGAUAACAUUUUCAACAUAAUUUUCCACCCUGGCGAUGUGUCUACGUUUAGCUGCCAAGCAUGAUACAACUGAGAAAACUAGCUUUCUUUUUGAGACACUCUUGUGAAUCUGAUAAAGCUUAUCAAUGCUGUCAUCUUCUGUUUGUGUUAUCAAGUCCUGUAGUAAAAGAUAUACUUCAGCCAUUUUUGUUAUGGUUUCAACAUUGUUCAAGGAAACCACCCAUUUCAAUUUUGUUUACAUGUGCCUGAACUAGGUUUAUUUUUCAAACUAGUUCGAUAAAACCUAAACUAGUUUUGGAAACCAGUUCAAAACCUUAAACUAAAACCAAAACCAGUUUUAUUUGCAAUAAAUGUACCCAUAGAAAAAUAAAUCACUCCAAAGUUGCGCAGUCCAGUCAGUACAUGGCCUUGCGUAAUUUGUGAUUAUAGCUUUCAUUAAGUUAUUAAUUAUGCUGAUAUACCGAUAAUUAUACAUGUUUACAACUGAUAAAUCAUACGAAUUUAAACCCUUACAAAUAUGUGCGUCAAAAGUGCUUUUCCGAAUUUUCUUUCAUCUGUGAGUAACACUUAACAUUUGAAAAGUAAGGAUAGGAAAAUGUCAAAACUUUAGGAGUUAUAUAUGACCAAAAACAUAUAAUGUAUAUAUCCAGAAUUGCUAAAUUCAUCUUUGGUCAACUUUGCCUGAAGGAGUUGGAACCUUAGUUCAUAAUAAUUUCUGAAAAGGGAAUUCUUCACUUAGUGACUAUAGACACAUGUAUAGUGCCAUUGCAAUCAAAAAACUAUAAUUUCUGUCGAGAUGAAGGGUUCAGAAAAUAUAAUAUUAUUUUACACUAUGUUAAUUGCCUUUUGUGCAGCUUCAGUUGCAAUCUCUUCCCUGAAAAUAGAACAAAAAUGUUUAAUCAUUAGUUCAUUUGUGUCGUUUGCAAUUGUUCAUUUCUUUCUGGGACUUGAAUUCAAUACUAUUUUUUACCAAGAAUGUUUUAAUCAAGGUUAUAUAUACAAGUUUUUGCAAUUUGAACUGACCUUGCAAAUUUACAUAUCUACAGUACAUUCUAUGUACCAUGUAUAUACUUGUAGAAUGUAUCAGGAAUAGACUAUAAAAGUAAUAUAGUUUGUGAAAGAUGAUAGCCAGGUAAAUUUCACACUUUGAAAAUCUGAAAUUUAACCAUGUAAUUGUCUGAACAAUUUAAAAAGGGGAUAAUAAAGAAAAGCCAUUAACUUCUGAUUCAUUUGAAUAAGUGGACUACCCUGGAAGCAUAUGGCCUUUAAAGGCUAAUACAGGUGAAAAGGUUCACCUUAAAGUACCGUAACUGAUGCUAUUCAUUCCAUGCUUUUAAAAAAUUCCAUAUUCUGUAUAUUGAAGAAAAUGGCCAAAUGUAAAUGGUCUAAUGAUUGAAUUGAAGUGUACUGGUACUAAGUACUUAUAUUUUCUCUUUAUGAAGUAAUUGAUCUGUCCUUCUAUUUCUUAUUUAUUUAACCUUUUUAACACUGGACUGCUUGGUCAUUAGCUGUCAUCUAAGGAUCAUAAAACUAAGAUCCUAAACAGUUGAUCUAAAAGCACACAAUGGAUUUUUUUUUAAAUGACCAAAAUAAAUCAAAUUGUCCUUAAACUUUAUUCACAAAUAAAAAUGUGGGAAUACAAGCCAUAAAUGCUUUUGCAUGCCUGGAAUAAUUUUAUAAUUUGUAAUACAUUUGAGGUUAAUUUGUAAUAAUUGUAUGAAGAGUCUUGAUGGGUUUUUCGGUUGAACUUAAAAGGUCAAUGACUUUGCAGCAAAACAUCAUUUCCAUGUAAUCUUGUAGACCUACCUGUAUUCAUGAAAUUUUACUUUCUGUGGAGAGUUCACAGCACUAUUGCAUGAUAUAGGGUUAAAAAUUAUUUUUUUGAGGAGUAGCAUCUUGGGGUAAACUCAAGUAGAUCUAUCAAAACUGGUACAUGUACUUGGACUUAGAACUUAAGAUUUGGAGUAAACAUGUUAUUUAUGAAACAUCAACCCAAACAUCAAACAACAUCUAACUCUUAAGUCCCAAUGAGUCUGUGCUAUUAGCCUAUGUUUGAAAAAUAGUAUGUUUUAUAUAGGAGUAGCUAAUUAGAUUACCAUUUUUAUUUCACCAAGAGUGAACAUGCUACCAUAACACACAGACAUUUCAUGAUUUGACAAAGGAGGUUAUAAAUUUUGGUUUAAUUUACCGAUAAAGUUGUUAGGAUGUAUAGCAAAACUUGAUUAAGAGGGCUUACAUAGACUAUGCAUGUUACCCAUGCCAAUCCAAUUCAAUUUAUUUGAAUAAAAUACUGUUGAAACUAAACUAAAACUAAAAAUUUGUUAUUGUAUAUAUUUAUCUCUCAAUUUGGUGGUUUGUGAUCAUUGACCUUGAUUUGAAAUGUCAAUGAAGGGCUUCAGAUUAAUGCGAUUGACUGGAGGAAAUUUAUUUACUCUUUAUAGGAAUAUACAUCUUAAUUUCAGAUUUUAUGAUAAUUUUCUUUGAUUUAACUUGAAAGGCAGAGCUAUAAUUUCUGUAGGGCCUGAAUAGAAAUCUAAAUAGAAGUAUCCAAGCAUACACAAUUUUGUUUUCCAACCUCAGCUCACUGUAUUGGCCUUAAACAUGUUAAAGACAAAUAUUCUGGCCAAGAAAAACUUUCACAUUGACAAAAAAAACCAUGAAAUUAUAAAUGCUUGAUUUUUGUUAUUGGUUCAUCAGUUCACUUUUCCACAUUUAAUCCUCUUCCAAGUAAAACCAUUGCAGCAGUAAUAAAUGAUAGGUUUUGAACUUGCGACACCAAAGGAAAAAUCAAUUGAUUAUAUAGAUGAUAAAAAUCACUAUGUCAAAUACUUUGAAGCCUCUAUUUAAGGAAAUAAUGUUAGAUAACUCCUUUGUUUUGUUUGAAAUUUCACAAUAUGCAUUUGAAAGUCAUAUUUCCAAAAAAAUAUAAUACCGACUGUGGCAAAAUCUAAAAUGGAAGAUAUUCUAUGUUCUGCCAGAAAAUUGUCCAUCCAUUCUAACAGAAAAAUGUACAAACCAUAAGAUCUUACCAAAAAAUUACAUGAAAAACCCAACAUCAUAAACAAGUUUAUGAAAUAUUUGUGUUCAAAAUGUAUUGUGACAUUUCAUUUUCUGUUUGCUAUGUUUCAUUGGUGAAACCAUGGAAAUAUUAUAAUUAUCACUCAGUUUUUUACACUACAGCUCAGAUGGAUUUUGCUUUGAGUGGGUACCAGUAGGCAAAAUUUAAACUUGACCACUCUGCCCUGUCACCCAUAGGAGUGGGGCCUCUGUCAGGCAUGCAAUUUCUUUUGGUGAAUCAAAAGACUUGCAAGUACAAUCAAUUGAAAAAAGCAGAUAAGCAUUCAUGAUUGGUAAUCAAUAUUUUUACAAAAAAGAGAUUAUUAUAAGCUAGAGUGGGUACCAGGUGGGCAGGUGGAAAAAGCAAAAUCCACAUGGGUAACAUAUUGUUGUGUCAUUUUACUUCCAGGAUGAAAACAAUCUCCAAACUAAAACAUGACUUCAUAAUACUAGUAGAGUUCUGGAUCAAUACUAUUACUCCAUGCUUGAUGUGUAAUCGAAGAUCUUUUUCAGAAACUGGAAUUUUUAUCUUUUAAAAAUACUUUUACCUUGUUUUACCUGUGGGAUCCUAAUUGAAGUUAGCACACUACAAUUCCAAACCAAUCAGCUAAUGAAUAAUGUAACUGGUCAUCAGUGGAAACCCCCUUCCCAUUGGUGGUGCCAGUCUCUUGACCUUUCCAUUGGUGGUGCCAGUCUCUUGACCAAAUAUGGACUGUAGUCCGAGGUCAGAUGGACACGGCGGCAAUCCAACUGCAGUCUGGCAUGCAAAGAUAAUUAUUGAUCAAUACUCCCCUUUGAUGCAAACGGCAGAGUUAAUUUUAUUUUGAUUAAUGAUAUAUUUAAAAUAAAUACCCCCUUGAUGUGUAACCGAAGAUCUUUUUCAGAAACUGUACUUAUCUUAAAUACUUUUACCUUGUCUUACCUUAGGGAUCCCAACCCAUACUGAUAGAUGUAUUCUAAACUAACCCUUACAUAAGCCCAGAGAUAGACAAAACCCUUACCAAAUUCCUAACUAUAAAUGAACCCUCAACCUAAAGAACAAGGACCCCUAAAGUAUUUAAGAAUGUUAGGAUGAAAAGCAAAUUCAAAACUGUAAACAUGAAUAAACAAAUAUAAAUAAGAAAGUGAAGUAUGAUUGGCAAUGAGACAACUUUCCUGCAUUGUAUAUAGAACAAGGAAGAAAAUAGGUCACUAUGUUGGCUUUUUUUAAUUAAAAGUUUCUUAUCAUGACUAUUAAUUAGCAUUGUCUUGCAAUCCAUCUUUAGCCUAUGUAAAUAGAUUGCACUUCAAAUGAAAAUUAGCACAGUUAAUGAAUGUUUCAUUAAGUCAAAGGUGACAAGUAAUAGAAAAGAUCAAAGGUGAUCUUGUUACCUUUAUACACCUUUAAAUACCAUUACUCUGACAGGGACAUGGCCAUUAUCAUCCCCUACAACAUCAACAUUGUGUCUUUUAUGUUUGUAUACCUGUGUUUUUACCUGUCAAUUAGAUGACCUUUAACUUGUUACACCUGUAAGCUUAGCCACAAAUAUGUAAUAGGACUGUACCAAAUCACUGAUGUUCAAACAUUAGGAGUGAUAGAUGACUGAUUUCUAAUUGUAUAGAUUAAUAUUAUUACCUAAUACAAAGUAAUGAUGUAUAAUGAUUACUUACAUUAAAACCAGAAAUCUAUAGUAAAACCUUUAAAUAUGUACUAAGACAAAAUAAUGUUCAGUUUGACAUAAAAUUUAUAGGAUAACCUAGGCCUGAAAUCUAUAGCAAAAUCUAAAACAUACGGUAAAAACUCUGUAUAGUUAUCUGAUGAUGAAUGGUCCCUUCUGAAAUUUAUGAGGGUGUCACCUUUCUGAAUAAAUUUGGUGCCAGUUCCUGCUUUUUAAAAUCUUAUUUGAAUACCUUUCCCCUGAUUGCUAGUCCACUAAAUAUAUAUAAGGGAUCAAGUAUCCCUCUUUAGUAAAAAUCUCUAGGUUUCACUAUCAAUGCCUGUUAUACAUGUAUGUGCUUUUACUGCUUUAAAUUAUGAGGCAGGUAUAAAGUGUUUAUAGUGUUCUAAAUAAGAUGCCUUGUAAAUGGCUAUGUAAAUGUCAUUAAUUGUAUACUUUUCCUUUGUUUAGAGUAUAAGAUACUAGUCCUGUAGUUAUCCAUAGAUAUACAAGCCUGUGCUGACAUGACAUAUCAUUGCAAUUUGAUGUGGUGAAUUGUGUUUUAUUUGUUAAUUUGUCUUAUCAUGAUAUUUUGGGUACUGAUGAGUGUAGCUGGGAUUUCAAAAAUGUGAUACACCAUUCAUAAUUUCAUAUAUUGAAGUCUCUUGAAAAUCACCACCCAUGAAUAUACUUCAUGGUUAAAUAUACAUAUUUCAUUUGAAAAUAUAUACAGAUAUCUAAUUGAAAGACAAAUUACUGACCCAUUGUCAUCAUACACAUUGCAUUUGACAUAUAAAUAAAACAUAUAAAUAAAAGGGACCCAUAUCUAAAGGGACAACCCUACCCCCCUUGCUUUUUAAUGAGUUAUCCUGCCUCUAUUUUAUUUCACAUGGAGUUAUUAUUCUCUCUCAAAGUCCAAUCUAUAUAACUUAUUAAGAUAUAUAGGUUCCUACUUAAAAUAAGAAAAAUUACUUGAGAUAAUUUUUGCAUAUGUAUUAUUUCAGGUUUUACAGAAUUUGGGUAAAGCUGAAAAGACUGCAGAUGACAAAUUUGAUGAACAUGUACAUAACCUUGAAAGGCAACAGGUUAGUUCAUAUCUAUUUAUAGUUCCAGAGGGAAGACAUCUACUUCACCUAUAUGUUUUAUUACCAUCUUUAACAAAAAAUAGGACACAUUAUUUUGAUAUCACAAUAAAACAACUGUGAACUAAUUAAUAAAUAAAGAAUUAAUCAUGCUUUUGGGUAAUAGUGGGUGGAUAAAGAAAGGUAUUUAAAGUUAUCUUUUGAUAGAUAAGUAAUUAAAACGAUACAAAAGACAACAGCAAAUACAAAAGCAAUAAAACAACAAAUUUAUACAAAACAAUCUUUCAUUGUAUUAUAUAUAUAAAUGCACAUAGGACACAGCGAUCCUAGUGAAAACCAGCACAGAUGCAAAACAAAAUAUAACUAUUUAUGACACCAUGGUCUCUGUUAUUUUCUGCAGGUUCAUGUUAAUCUUCUUAAAAUGUCUUAAUAAGUUGCACUCCUGUAAAAACAUGUAUAGACUAUGCAAUAUGCCGAAAGAACUUAAUGGAAUUUAAUUUAACUGCUAUUUAUUUGUAUUUAUAUAUUGGUAACAUCCCCAAGUUAUGACACUCUAUGAUAUGAAAUAUAGAGAUCCUACUUGGGAACCAGUCAGUAAGGAAAUGAAGUAUUUAUGAAUGUUACAUAUCUCCCCAAAAGAGACAUGGAUUGUGGAACAGCUGUAUUUAGAGAAUGUAACCUAAUAAUCAUUGCAUAUUUUGCAGUGUUCAAAAUAGAUACAAAAAAAAAUAACAUAUUAGUUUUGCAGGUUCAUAAGUAAUAUGUUGAUAGUUAAUUUGAUAAAACAGAGGUGCAACAUUGUAAACAUAGCCAUUUCUGGUUUUUUUUCUGUUGUACGAGUGUACAAUAAAGUUCUAAAUUAACCUCCAGAAACACAGGUGUUCCAUAUUUGGAUGUUAUUUUUAUAGUAUUACCUUCAUCAUGUUCAUUGUAUGAAUACUUUUAUGAUCCAAUAUUUGUUUUUGAGCAUGGCGUGUCCAGAUUAAUUGAUUAUAAAGUAUUUUUGUAUGUCCAACAAAUACAAUGCAAGUCAUUGAUGAAUAAGAAACAAAAGCAAGAGAAAAAAAAUAGAAUCAAACAAAUUUGGGUUGGAAUAAGCACAUGUGAUGGACUGAGGCCAUACAAAGCCAGAAAUAAAAGCUAAGAUGGAAAACUUUUUGUUUUAUUCAUUAUGUUUUGUUUUUAAUUUAUUAAACAGGAAGUUGCCCACAGAUUCCAGAAAGAACUCAGGAACUAUAUUAGUUGUGCCAAAGGUAACAUUAAUCUUGUAGUCAAAACUUUGACUAUUUCAGUACAAAACUCUUGUGUAUAUGGUCAAUCUUUUUAAAUCAUCACUUAUGCUCAGUGAUAGUAUUGUAGACUUGAGAGUUGUUUCCCACACUCUUGCUGUCACAUCUACCUCCUCCAUUUUGAAAAAUAAAUGAUAAACCCAUAAACAAACCCAAACCCAAAUUUUAAAGAUACAAUAUUUUUUGUCUCAAGAUGUUUGCCAGAAAGGCUAAAAAUUCUAUUCAUGACAUAUUUUUGCUACUUCUUGGUUUUUGUCGAGCCUGCAACUUUUGUUGCAGCAAGCUCGACAUAGGGAUAGUGAUCCGGCGGCGGCGGCAGUGUUAGCUCACUUCUUAAAAGCUAUAUAUUUUAGAAGGUGGAAGACCUGGAUGCUUCAUAUUUUGUAUAUAGAUGCCUCAUGUUACGAAGUUUCCGUCAGUCACAUGUCCAUUGUCCUUGACCUCAUUUUUGUCGAGCCUUCGACUUUAGUCGAAAAAGCGAGACAUAGCGAUCCUACAUUCCGUCGUCGUCGGCGUCGUCGUCGUCGGCGGCGUCCACAAAUAUUCACUCUGUGGUUAAAGUUUUUGAAAUUUUAAUAACUUUCUUAAACUAUCCUUGAAUUGUACGAAACUUUGACAGAAGCUUGUUUAUGAUCAGGAGAUAGUAUCCAGAAGUAAAUUUUGUAAAAUAAAAAUUCCACUUUUUCCGUAUUUUACUUAUAAAUGGACUUAGUUUUUUCUGCGGGGAAACAUUACAUUCACUCUGUGGUUUAAGUUUUUAAAAUUUUAAUAACUUUCUUAAACUAUCCUGGAAAUGUACAAAACUUGGCCAGAAGCUUGUUUAUGAUCAGGAGAUAGUAUCCAGAAGUAAAUUUUGUAAAAAUAAAAUUCCAUUUUUUUCCGUAUUUUACUUAUAAAUGGACUUAGUUUUUCUGCCAGGAAACAUUACAUUGACUCUGUGGUUAAAGUUUUUAAAAUUUUAAUAACUUUCUUAAACUAUCCUGGAAUUGUAAGAAACUUGGCCAGAAGCUUGUUUAUGAUCAGAAGAUAGUAUCCAGAUGCAAAUUUUGUAAAAAUAAAAUUCCAUUUUUCCCGUAUUUUACUUAUAAAUGGACUUAGUUUUUCUUCCAGCUAACAUUACAUACAGUCUGCAGUUAAAGUAUUUAAAACAUUUUUAAGAUUCUUAAACUAGCCUGGAUUUUUACCAAACUUGGACAGAAGCUUCUGACAAUCAAAAGAUAGUAUCGAGAGGAAUAAUUUUAUUGAUUUUUUUCAUUAUUUUUGAUGAGUGUGUGAUUAACAGCAAAAGUAGGCGAGACACUGGGUUCCGCGGAACCCUUACAAAUUUUAAUGGUUCAGUGACCACUUGAAAAAAAGUUCAGAUUUUUUGUAAUGUUAAAUUUUCUCUUACUGUAAGUAAUAGGAUAACUAUAUUUAGUAUGUGCAUACCUUGCAAGGUCCUCUUGCCCGUCAGACAGUUUUCACUUGACCUCGACCUCAUUUCAUGGAUCAGUGAACAAGGUAAAGUUUUGGUGGUCAAGUCCAUAUCUCAGAUACUAUAAGCAAUAGGUCUAGUAUAUUCGGUGUAUGGAAGGACUGUAAGGUGUACAUGUCUAACUGGCAGGUGUCAUCUGACCUUGACCUCAUUUUCAUGGUUCAGUGGUUAUAGUUAAGUUUUUAUACGACUGCAAAAUUUGAAAAAUUUUUCGUCGUAUAUUGCUAUCACGUUGGCGUCGUCGUCUGCGUCGUCGUCGUCCGAAUACUUUUAGUUUUCGCACUCUAACUUAAGUAAAAGUGAAUGGAAAUCUAUGAAAUUUUAACACAAGGUUUAUGACCACAAAAGGAAGGUUGGUAUUGAUUUUGGGAGUUUUGGUCCCAACAUUUUAGGAAUUAGGGGCCAAAAAGGGCCCAAAUAAGCAUUUUCUUGGUUUUCGCACUAUAACUUUAGUUUAAGUGAAUAGAAAUCUAUGAAAUUUUGACACAAGGUUUAUGACCACAAAAAGAACGGUUGGGAUUGAUUUUGGAGUUUUGUUUCAACAGUUUAGGAUUAGGGGCCAAAAAAGGGCCCAAAUAAGCAUUAUUCUUGGUUUUCGCACAAUAACUUUAGUUUAAGUAAAUAGAAAUCAAUGAAAUUUAAACACAAUGUUAAUGACUACAAAAGGAAGGUUGGUAUUGAUUUUGGGAGUUUAGGUCCCAACAGUUUAGGAAUUAGGGGCCGAAAAGGGACCCAAAUAAGCAUUUUUCUUGGUUUUCGCACCAUAACGUUAGUAUAAGUGAAUAGAAAUCUAUGAAAUUUAAACACAAGGUUUAUGACCAUAAAAGGAAGGUUGGUAUUGAUUUUGGGAGUUUUGGUCCCACAGAAUAAGAGCCCAAAGGGUCCAAAAUUAAACUUUGUUUGAUUUUAUCAAAAUUGAAUAAUUGGGGUUCUUUGAUAUGCCGAAUCUAACUGUCAUGACUGUGUAUGUAGAGUCUUAACUUUUGGUCCCGUUUUCAAAUUGGUCUACAUUAAGGUCCAAAGGGUCCAAAAUUGAACUUAGUUUGAUUUUGACAAAAAAAUGAAUCAGUUAGGUUCUUUGAUAUGCUGAAUCUAAAAAUGUACUUAGAUUCUUGAUUAUUGUCCCAGUUUUCAAGUUGGUCCAAAUCGGGGUCCAAAAUUAAACUUUGUUUGAUUUCAUCAAAAAUUGAAUAAAUGGGGUUCUUUGAUAUACCAAAUCUAACUGUGUAUGUAGAUUCUUCAUUUUUGGUCCUGUUUUCAAAUUGGUCUACACUAAAGUCCAAAGGGUCCAAAAUUAAACUUAGUCUGAUUUUAACAAAAAUUGAAAUCUUGGGGUUCUUUGAUAUGCUGAAUCCAAAAAUGUACUUAGAUUUUUAUUAUGGGCCCAGUUUUCAAGUUGGUCCAAAUCAGGAUCUAAAAUUAUUAUAUUAAGUAUUGUGCAAUAGCAAGUCUUUUCAAUUGCACAGUAUUGCGCAAUGGCAAGAAAUAUCUAAUUGCACAAUAUUGUGAAAUAGCAAAUUUUUUUUUAAUUAGAGUUAUCUUUCUUUGUCCAGAAUAGUAAGCAAGAAAUAUCUAAUUGCAAAAUAUUGUGCAAUAGCAAGAUUUUUUUUUAAUUGGAGUUAUCUUUCUUUGUCCAGAAUCAACUUAAAUCUUUGUUAUAUACAAUAUACAAUGUAUAUUCACUUUUUACUACCAACUGAUAAAUUUAAAAUAAUCUUUACCAUUUCAGUGAUAACAAGCAGUUUUUUUACAUCUUAAUAUUUUAUGAUGUAUUUAAAUGAGUAGUUAUUGUUGCAAACUCCAUUAGAAAUUUUAAUUGAGAUUAGUUUUGGAAUAAGAGAAAGGGGGAUGUGAUUAAAAAAAUUGGGUUCAAUUUUUCUCAUUUGUAAUUUCAUAAAUAAAAAAGAAAAUUUCUUCAAACAUUUUUUUGAGAGGAUUAAUAUUCAACAGCAUAGUGAAUUGCUCUAAGAGAAAACAAAAAAUUUAAGUUCAUUAGAACACAUUCAUUCUGUGUCAGAAACCUAUGCUGUGUCAACUAUUUAAUCACAAUCCAAAUUUAGAGCUGAAUCCAGCUUGAUGUUUGUGUCCAUACUUGCCCCAACCGUUCAGGGUUCAACCUCUGCGGUCGUAUAAAGCUACGCCCUGCGGAGCAUCUAGUUGUGUUUUGGUCUGUUUUUCUCAUACUUUAUGCAGUAGGUUUACUUUAUUUGUUGUAUGGAAUGAUUGUAAGGUGUACAUGUCUAGCGGGCAGAUGUCAUCUGACCUUGACCUCAUUUUCAUGGUUCAGUGGUUAUAGUUAAGUUUUUGUGUUUUGGUCUGUUUUUCUCAUACUUUAUGCAAUAGGUUUACUAUAUUUGUUGUAUGGAAUGAUUGUAAGGUGUACAUGUCUAGCGUGCAGAUGUCAUCUGACCUUGACCUCAUUUUCAUGGUUCAGUGGUCAAAGUUAAGUUUUUGAGUUUUGGUCUUUUUAUCUAAUACUAUAUGUCAUAGGUCAACUAUAUUUGGUGUAUGGAAAUAUUUUAUGAUCUAUAUGUCAGUCGUGCCGGUUUUAUUUGACCUUGACCUGGUUUUCACGGUUCAUUGCUCAGUGUUAAGUUUUUGUGUUUUGGUCUAUUUUCUUAAACUAUAAGCAAAAGGUCAACUAUAUUUGUUGUAUGGAAGCAUUAUUAGCUGUACAUGUCUGCCUGGAAUAUGGUUCAACUGACCUUGACCUCAUUUUCAUGGUUCAUGUUAAGUUUAUGUGACAGUCAUAGUAAAGCUUUAUAUUUAGGAGUAUCAACAUAAUAUCAAUGAUUAGUAAAGAAGGCGAGACAUUUCAGUGUAUGCACUCUUGUAUUCAGUAGGAGAAGUUAGCAUAUGUUGUCUUUUGAAUAAACACACGCUUGAACAUGGGAAGUAUUAGUUCUUAUUGUAUCUAAGAUGUAUUGAUCCAUAGAGUGUGGGUCAUUACAAUCCAUCUCAUUAGUAACUUAUGAUUCCUUGUUUUAGAUAAUUAAUUGUAUCUUGUUAAUCUUCAAACAGGUAAAACAGGUGUUGGCAUCAAAAGGAUAACUUCUCUGGUUUUUACCCAGAAGCAUUGAAACAUUUAAUUUUGUAUAUAAGGGUGUACUAUUGGCUAUCUGUUUUUUACCAUUUAUUUCUUGCCUAUAGGUUUUUGGAUGCGUAGAAUUAUACAUGGCGAUAGCUACUGUGGAUUGGAUAUUAUUAAUUGGGUAUCAAUUUUCAAGAAUAUAGAUAGGCAAACUACAAAUUUUUCUUUGAAGAAUUUGAAUCAAAACUUUGGCAAAACCAAGACAUCAAGUAUCAACCAAAGAAAAAUAAAUGAAUCUAUAGUACUAGUAUAUAUUAUAUAUUGGGGAAUAUUGUCCCGAGUAGAAUUUUAUAUUGCACGAGCUUGCGUGCAAUAUAUGUUCUACGAGGGACAAUAUUUCCCAAUAUUCAUGCAAUAACCCUUUUAUUGUAUAGAAAUAUAAUAUUUGCAAGUAAAAAAUUGUUUAUACUAAGAUUUUGACGUUGAUGAUGUCAUGAAUUUUGAAGAUUUAUUGCGCUAGACUGUAGUGCAAUAUUACAAUUUAUUGCACGCUAACUUUUGGAUACUUUCUGUGGGAAAUAUUAUAUUGCUAUACAAUAAAUGGUAUUCUUGUUUCCAUUGCUGAAUGAUUUGUCCUGAUCAAAUUUUCAAGAUAUUUAAGUUAUUUAUAUUGAGGUCUUAAACUGGAUUCAAUAUUCAUGAUAUUGUUUAUUUCUUUAUCAUGUUUUAGUAAUUUCCUGUUCAUUGAUUUUGAUUAUAUCGAAGCAUAUCAAUGACACUUUGUGUAUUGUGUUUCUUUUCAUCAGCAAGUGUUCUCAAUUAUAUCAGAAUGACCCUCAUGAGGUCAAGGAUAAGGUCACAAACUCCCUUCAAAUAGAAUGUAGUAAAAUUUGAAGUCAAGGAAUUUCCAACAUGAAUAUUGGUUACUACUAGUAUAGAUACUUGAAAUGAUUAUAUCUACAAUGAUCUACCUGUCAAAUAGCAUGUUAUAGAAAUGAUAAAGUGAUCAGUAUUAGGGUCAAGGUCAAAAUUUAGUUAUUUUCUAAUAUCAUGGAUUUGUUUAGUAAGUCUUACUAUACAAAUCCUUGCUAAUAUGUAGAUCAUAGUUGUCACAGAACUAUAAAAUAUUUCAGCAUGAAUCUGACUAUCAGUUAUACUGUCGAUGACCAUGAUGACCACAAUUAAGUUGGCUUGUGUUUAAAAAAAUUAAAUCUGAUUUUUCCUAGCGUGAAACCCCCAAAAAAUGGUUCUAUUUUUGUCUCAUGAUAAUCUGGUGUCCAUGUAGAUCUUUGAAAAUUGUGCAAAGCUAAGGUCAUGAAUAAGGAUAAAGUCUCAAAAAUUGAGGGGAAUGAUUUAAUGAAAACAAAAAGUGCCUUGAUUACUUUAAAGUUUUGGAUCACUAGACUAUAAUCUGCCACUGCCAAUGCAUGUAACAUAAAUUCAAUAUAGAAAUAAAAAGAUGUAGCUGCUGAUUAUCAACUAUUGAAAAACAAAGGAUAAGAAAUGGACCUUCUUCACAUCAACUAAGCAAUAAAAAGUCUAGCUGGUUAUGAAUCAUUUUGCAAAAAGGGACUGGAUAUGUGUCUGUGUUUAAAAACCUUAAAUGAAAAAAAUGAAAAGUGUUUUAAACACACUUAUAUGAUUAGUUUAUUAGAAGUGGGGACAGGAAUUAAGCAAUCAGCAAUAAAUCAAUAGAAAUUGAACGGUGUAAUAUGUAGAUAUAAUAAUCUGAUCAUUAUCUAGCUGAUAGGAAAAUUAAAUAAAAGUUCUACACACAUUUAAUUAAAAAUAUACAAAUCUUAAGGUUGUUAAAAAUACUGCUCCUUAAUUUCAGACUAAAAAGUUAACCUAUAUAUUUAUGAAUGGGUAUUAAUUUUCUUCAUUUAAAAAGACUACUAUAAAAUUUCUUCUGUCAAACUAAAGUAAAAGGCCAAGAUAGACACAUUUUAUGGUAUUUGUAGAAUAAAAUACAUUUGUUGAUUAAUGUUGACCUGAGAGCUGAAUUAAAGAAAGUUUUUUGUUUGAUUGGUGGGUAUACACUACAUGCCAACGUCUUUAUAUAUAGAUGGCAUUCAAUUUGUUAGCAACAUACAUGACAUACCGAAUUUCGCUAGAUAUAUGGUUUAAACUAAGAAUACUAAAUUUAUAAAACUGAAUUCAGUAAUUAAUCUCAUAUAAUGCACAAAAUUUUGAUAAAUUAAUGGUUCAUGAAGACAUAGUGUUGGACUUAAAUAACUAUAAGCUGAACUAAUCGUUCUGAUGGAAACAAGUGUACAGAAAUCUUACUGAAUCUAUUUGAUAUGGUUAUUUUAAGAUACAUAUGCAUGCUUCAAAAGUCUUAAAACGCUUUUAAAUUGUAAUGACUCAGAGACCAAUAUUAAAGACCCCACCCAACUCUUUAAAGAAAGCAUAUAUGGUACUCUAUUUUUAGUUUUAGACACAAUUCAGGAAGUUUCUAUUUUGAAAAUAAAUUGCAAUGCAUUUAAUUGGCCUGUUUGCACCAUUUGCCAUUUAUAAUGUAAUUGACCUUAUUAUUUGCACUACCUAUUCUGUAUAUAUGUUAGCGGCAAUAAGUGAAAUUAGGCAUUAAGCUUAAAUCCUAGGCAAUAAGCUAUUUUUUGAUUGGCCUAACUUUUGAAUUUUCUACUGAACCAAAUAACAGAUGGAAAUUCCAUUACCUAUGUAAAUAUUAUUAUGUUUCAGAUGAGUGAGUUUGAUUGUUGAAAUUUAAGAUGAUUUUAUAUACCAGUAGUGUCAGUUUAAGAAUGUGAAAUAUCUAUUUUGACUCCCUUACAAAAUAUGCAAAUUAUAUGUCACCGAUAUCUUACAACUGCUUGUGCAUUAAUUUCUAAUGGUAAUUAAACUAGGAUGGGUCUUCUUUACAUUUAAUAUCUUAGUUAUUCUGUUUUUAGCUCAGUAUAAUUUUUACUGCCAAAAUUCACCAAACCAUUUCUUUGCUAAACUGAUUUUUUUACUGUCAAAAAAGAGGAGUUUCAAUAAAUGACAGGAAAUCAAAACAACCAAUAUAAAAAAAAACCAAAAAGCAUAGAAUCAGUGCUGUUGUUAUUCUUUAAAAGUCACAUUGAGGAUUUCACUGUUCACAGUUUGCUACUGACCCCCUAUGGACCAUAGAAUUGAAGUAAAAAACAUACCUGUAAGAGAUUCAGCUGAUGGCCUCACCCCAAUGGAUUUGACUUACCCUUUAUGAAUCCAUAGGGGGUUAGUAGCAAACCAUAUAACUUAUAGUAAUAUCUGUCACUGUGUUGUUGGUGUUAUUGGUGUCCAGUCAACCUCCAACUCUUACUAGGGGCGUAGGAGGCUGAGUGGUCUAAAGGUUACAGUGCUACUACUGUAAUCACUAACCAGUCAACAUUGAGGUUGUGAGUUCAAACCCUGCUUGUGCAGCUGCACUUGACCUCCAAUCUAAAUUGACCAGUAUUGUCAGUUUUCCUAUCCAAGGUCGUGGUUUUCUCCUGGCACUCAGGUUUCCUCCACCAAUAAAAACUGGCCGCCACAUAUUAGCCCAAAAACAGUGCUUAUAAGUGGCAUUAAAACACCAAAAAUCAAAAUCAAAAUCAAUCAAUCGAAACCCAUACUGUUCAUUUCAAAAUAAGCACUCUUUCUGGGAGUGUUUGGAAAGAAUACAGAAAUAGGAAAAAAAUGAGAGGGUUGGGGAUGAGGAGUUAGUCAAAUACAAUUUGCAGUUUAUACAUAUAUGUCCCAACAUCAUUUGAGCUUCUUAAAUUACAGUGUCUAUGUUGUAUAAUAUGCAUUCCGGCUUUGUCUAUAUUGUAUAAUAUGCAUUCUAGCUUUGUCUAUAUUGUAUAAUAUGCAUUCCAGCUUUCACUUUUCAUCUUUCUUUUAUAGCCUUUUGAUAGUAAUAGGAAGAUGUGAUAUGAGUGCCAAUGAGACAAUUCUCUAUCCAAGUCACAAUUUUUAAAAGUAAACCAUCAUAGGUCAAAGUACAGUCUUCAACAGGGAGCUUAGGCCCACACCAAACAGCAAGCUAUAAAGGGCACAAAAAAUGACUAGUGUAAAAACAAUGGUCUAAUUUAUAUUAGAGAAACACUUAUGACCACAUGAAUAAACAAAACUCUUGAACAUGUAUAUGAUCCUUGCACAUGUAAACAUUAAGAUAUAACCUUGACCCCAUAUUUGUUUUAAGUUGGUGACACUCAUUAAAACCUUUUUUAAACAUUUUUAAUUAAUUUGAUGUUAUAUAUUAAUAAUAUAAACUUGUUGACAGUACAAUAUAAGGACCAAUUUCCUGAUAAUUGCACUUGAAAGAAAAUAACCACAUUUGAAACACAUAUUGCAAAUGGUUUAAACAAAGUGGUAAUUUUAUGCUCAAUUUGAAUUAACUUUAGAAUAAUACAACAUUCAAUGUGGUCUGGCAAGGCCUAACCAUAAUAAUAUUCUUGUGUAUUUUUGUGAAUCUACGGUGUUAGUUGUCUUAUUGAAAGUGCCAUGUGAUCUAAAAUAUUUGGUUCAUUUCUUUAGUCCAUUCGUUGUAUUAUAAAUCUUGCAUUUCCACAGUCUGUUUUAUUCAAAUGGCCAGGUUGAACCCAACUUUGAAAGGAUAAUGCACAUUUUUGAAUCCAGGAGUGUAGGAUUAAUGAAUAAUAAUAAAAUACAAUAUUUAUAGAGCACAUUAUAUAAUAACAACAAACUAAUUUAAGCACUUAAAAUUAUAUUCUCAUAAACUAAUUUGUACAAUUAGAGAGUUAAUUAUUUUGUACAAUAGAACAAUUAUAGUGCAAUGUUCAGUGGAUGUGGUAUUACAUAACACUAGGAAACAGUUUGUCACAAUCGGGGUACAGUAUUUGGCUUUAGUUUUUGAACAAUGAUCCUGAAAAGUUUAGACUCUAUUUUCUAAAUCUGAAUGCAAGUACAACCACUCAUCUUUUUGGGGUUUUUGUUGUUUGGUUUACGGGUUACUGUCUUGUUAAGAAAUGACAAACUAAGACCCUUGUAAAAUAGAUCGAUCUAUAGUCUAAUGUGAAUGGGAAAGAUCGAUCUUCAAUCGAUCUUAAAAAGGCCACCUCCAGAGGUAGUUAUAAAAAGAUUGAUCUUUCUUCAAGUGUAAAUGCUUAGAUCGAUCAAUUGCGAUCGAUCUUUUUUCGCAAUUUAAGGCGAAUGUUAAAUUUAUAUCUGAAAAUAAAUCUGUGCAUGUAUGGUGGCAAUAUCAAACAUGUUUAAAAACCAUGGAUGGAAUAAGAAAAGUAAACAUAGAUUCUGCUGUUUUUGUAUUAUCUUCUAAAUCAAUGAGUUCUAUUUCUUUACUGCAAAUCAUCAUCUUCAAACGCAUUGACCGUUCAUUUUUUAGCGAUAGUCUACACACAUUGUUGCGGGAGACAUAGAAAUGCUGGGGAUCCAUAUGUCUGUGCAUCGGAUCUUGUAAGCACUCUAACAUGUACAAUUCUUGCCAGAUUUUAUGAAACUUAUAUCAUAGGUUUAUAUCAGUAUGGUCUUAAAUAAGUUUGAAAAUCAGACCAAUCAAUUAUUGUUUAAAAAGUAACAACACUUUAUAUUAAAGUGCAUGAUGCAACCAGAAAGUAAUGUUAAACAUUUGCAAUACAUGAAUGUCAUUUUAAAACCAGCAGGCAAUGCAUUUACAUCUCAUACAUGUAGUAGUUAUUGAAUACAUGUAAAAUUAGUAUUUUAUUUCAACUCUCUAAUCUCUUCCGAAAUAUUUUCACUAAAAAUUAUCAUAAUUUGUAUUCAGAAAAGUUAAAAUUUAUACUUAGGGCAUUCAUGACACAGUUUGACAGUUAUUUAUGUCAUCCUGUCCUACACUUUUGACAACAGUUUCAUAAAUUAAAUUUUUUAAACAAGGCAAAUAAACAAAAAAACAAGAUUUUUAAACUUGACAAGAUAAGUUUUAGUAAGAACAUACCACCAAAUAAGUAAACAAUACAUUGAUCUUUGACAUUUUUGUAAAAAGACAAUUUAUGCACUGAUACACAGAGGUAUGUCUUACGGCAGAGCAUCUUCAGUAUUAAAUUCUUAAGUGUAUUGUCUUGUUUAUGUUAAAUCAUGUAUGUAAAUACAUUGUACACCUGAUGUUUUUCAUAACUUAUGCCUAGGGCAGAAUGGCUUACUUUUUAUUUUGUUAUGUAGUGUUAGGUCAGCAAUUAUUAUUGAUGGUGUAGAAUGGCUAUAAAAGGAAAUUUGAUGAGUGGUCAAUUUAUUAAUCAGUUUUACAAUAUUAAUAUAAAUUCCACUGUACUUGAUUGUGCAUGUCCACUUGUGAACCCACUUUAUUUUUUUUUGAAGUACACACUGAUUUGCUGGCCCCUUUGCAGUUUCCAUUUAUUUGUUGGUCCAGUUAGCAGUUCCACUGCUUUGCAGCAUGCAUUUAUUUGUUGAACCACUUUGAUAGCAGCAUAUACCUACUGAUUUGCUGCCGGUUUUGCAGUACCCAUUUAUUUGUUGGCCCACUUUGCAGUACCCACUGAUUAUUUGGCCCACUUAUUUGUUGAGCUUCUAGCAGUACCCUCUUAUCUAUUGGCCCGUUUUGAGUUCAAGCAGAAUGUAGCAGUACAAUUGAAAAAAUUAUCAAUUUAUAAAAUUGAAAGUUGUCCUGUGAGAAACUGAAACUUGGCUUUUGCAAUUAAAUUGUUUCAAAUUAUUUCCCUUUUUCUUUAAUUUACAAUUUUUAAUCCACUAUGAAAUAAAUAGGACAUAAUAGACAAAAAAAUAAUAUUUUACAAAAACAUAAUAUUCUUUAAUUAUGAUUAUGCAUGUAAAAUUCCCCUUUGUAAAUCCAGAAAAUUGAUUUGGAUGCACAAAAUUUAUAGAGUGCUAAUUUGGUAUAACAGCUAGCUAUAUAUAUAGGUACAUGUGAUUCACACUCAAUUGUUUUGAAUAAUCUAUUGUUUAGUGUUUGCUGAUACAUUUCAUGCAUAUAAUUAAUCAUUGACAAAUUUUACAUGAUAAAUCCUUAUAAUUAAACAUCGCCAUCCUCCUCUCAUAAAGAAAUACAGUCAGAUAGGACCAUUCUCAUUUUGAACUAAAUAUGGAAAAGUCGACAAAUAGUUGCAGAUUUUAGUCUUAUUCUUUCUCAAAUUUAUGAAUUUUUUUUAUUGUUGUGUUCAAACAUGAUUUUAUAAGAUUUUCAAAUAUGACAUUUUAAACUAUAUGUAAUCAAGUUAUAAAAAGACAAGUAGGGGUUAGUAGGCUUGGACUGAUAAAGUGACAGGAUUCUGAAUGUCUGGAAAAAUUUUAAAAAACAAGAGGAGCUCUUAGCAAACAUCCUUAGCCAUGUUAUAAUCAUAGCUUUUCACCAAAAAAAAACUAAACAUAAAAAAAAUAAAAAUAUUCUCAGAAGCUAAUGAUUGAUUUUGUAUAACCUACAAUACUACUUCUUGUAAUACAUAUAUCCAAAGUACUCAUGGUACUCAACCUCUCCAAACUCCUAUUGUUUGAAAUAAGUUUUAUAGAUUUAUCUAUCUUUUUCAGCUAUGGACAUAGCAUCAAAGUCAUUUUAUAAUGUGAUGAAAGAAACAUAUGAACCAGAAUGGAAAGAGGAAGACAAACUCAAGGAAACAAUACAGGUAAGGUCAAGAUCUAGCACAAGUAUUUAUGGCAGAAUUAAAUCUUUUUUGAAAUAAUUAGAUAAUAGCAAAGUUCUCAAGGAAUCAUGACAGAAGAAUGAAGUGUUGUUGUUGCAAGACUCUCUAUAAAAUAAUGAAUGGUUAAAUCAAAUAAUACAUUCUGUAGUCCUAGUCAAAUUUGCUUUGUGUAUCAAUGGGACAGCCUUUUAUAGCUGAGUUUUCCUCUAUUUAUCUACAUUAUUUUAAGAUGUGUUUUAUAUUGAUUAAUUGACUGAUGGGUGCUCAUGGUUCAGUGGGGAGUAUUUCAUGCAUGUACAGGCCCACACAAACUAACAAAUAAUACAACUGGUAGGUCCUGUAAUAAAAAUUAAAUAGGGUCUUCUUGAGGAGAGAUAUGGAAAAUGGCAUUAGAUUUGACAUCCCCAUCAUAAGAAGACAAAGAGUGACCAUAUUUCUAUUCUCCAGUCACCCUUAGGGGUAAGUGUUUAUAAGGCAAUGGAUUAAUAUAUGUCUGUUUAAAGUCUAUGCCUACCAUGCCAACUGUAACUUAGUUUUUGUGAUCUUUUGUGACUAUUUUGGAGUUCAGUAAAGUACCUGUGACUAUUUUCACAAAAAAUCUGUCAAGGAAAAUACUUGUAAGUCAUAAACAUAACAUUAUGGCUUAUGAUAAAGUUUUGUUUUGAACCCAGGACCCCUGACAAAGCAAGCCAACAAUCUAUUAGUUGAGAUGAGGAGUACUCCACUGGCACAACUAAUGGAGAGUGGUUAUAUGUCAACUAGGUCGUGGGCAGUGUCAGUUCACUCUGUACACUGCUCCAGUAUCAAAAGUCAUUAUACAUUAAGGAUUAUAUUCAACCUUAAUCCAAUACUAAACUCAUUUUAUCUUUUUUAUUCCCAAGUGUGUUUGCACCUGGGAUGUCAAUAGUAUAGUAACAAUAUAUCUUGGCAUUCUAACCAAGAUUUACUACCAUACCUGUCUGGGUUCAAAUCAUUGACCCCUAGCACAGUAAGUUUUUCCUAUCCUGUUUCUGUACUUAAUAUGCAUGUAUAUUACAUGUAACCUUAUACAUGUACAUACAUUUUUAUUGGCCCAAUCUUUUUAAAGUUCUAUACAUAUUGUUUUUGUUUUUCAGUCUUUAGAAUUAAUGUGGACAGACUACUUAGAGCAUCUAACAGAAUCUGUACAGAAUCCAUUAUCUACAUACACAAAUCAUUUUCAACCAUUAAAGGUAAGUUUUUGGUACAACUGUACUUGGUUUGAAGAAUAAUCACAAGGUAUUUGUGUCUGUCUGGCUGGGUUUCAUGUAAACAUGACCUCAAUUCAUGGUUCAGUUAUCAACCUUUAGUUUUCAUGAAUUGAUCCAAUUCUUAGAUUACUGGCUGUAAAGACAAUGGUAAUGUGUAGAGAUCUGCCUGACAGCAAAAUCAUUGCAAGAUUCACAUAUAAAAAUCAGAAAAUAUGGUAGAGACAACUUUCCACAAAUAUUAAAAUGAAUUGGAUAUAAGCAAUUAUAGUCAACCCUACAGGGUUCAACAAUGAGAAAACCCAUGGCGUAUAGUCGAAAAACAAAUAUAAAGACAUGAAUAAAUGACAACCACUGAACUACUCCUUACUAUGGACAGACACAUAAGGAAUAGACUGGUAUUAAAACUUAAAACAUGUUCGAAAGCACAAACCUACCCCUGACCUGGAUCAUAGUGUAACAGCACAAACUAUGUAAACAAUAUAUGAAAAACAAAUAUGAGAAACAGCAAAAAAACACCAUGUUUGAAGGCGACACCUAUUUUUUUUAAGAAUAAAUAAAGAUAUAAAUGGGUUUUUGUCUAAGUAAAAAAAGAUACAUGAGUCAUAACACAGCGAAAAAAAUACCCCACCCGGAGAUGUCUUCAGCUGGCCCCUUAACAAAAAUGUGUAAUAGUUCAGUGAUAAUGGACGUCAUUAUAGAAAUAUUUAAUAUGUGUCCAAGAAUGAAUAGAGUUGUGGGUGAAUCGUCAAAGAUAUUGCAGCUGGAUGACAAUAUUAAUUCUCCUUCCUAAAAAAUAGCAGGAUAAACAUUAAACUACAAGUACUACACAUGCAAUUGUGAUACCUUGAAUUUAACAUGGAUAUUUUUUUCUGCUGUUGUUUUUUUCUAUGGUCGGGCUGUUGUCUCUUUGGCACAUUCCCCAUUUCCAUUCUCAAUUUUAUAGUAUAACAUCAAUGAUCUAAUUGCUUAUCAACUUUUUCUUACAGCAAAGAAUAGCCAAACGAAACAGAAAAUUAGAUUAUUUUGACAAUGCUCGACAUAAUGCUGAAGUACUGCAGAGUGCGAAGAAAAAAGAUGAUGUCAAAAUUACAAAGGUCAGUAUCAAUCUCUGUCUUACCUCCUUCUAAAGUCUAAACCUCCUUCUAAAGUCUAAACUUGAGGGAAAUGUGCAUGAAAGAAAAGUUUGGUAUCUUUUUUUCAAUGCAAAUAUAGUGUGCUCUAGAUCCCAAAAAAAUUAUUUGGAAGAUGUUUUUACUGUUUAAUAAAAAAGAAGACGGGCACAUGAUUUUCAGGGUUAAACAUGUAAGGGGGAUCUCUUCAUUUCAUUGCCUGAAACAAUUGGCUUGUGGAUAAUGUGUUGAAAGUUUCUCAAAUCAUUAUUCAUAGUUGACUGGCAAAUUUCUUCCAAAUCUGUAUGUUGUCUCAUGUAAAAAAAAUACAAACAAAACCUUUUCAUGUUGUAGUUCAAAACUUUAGAAAAAAAAUAGAACUGUUGAAAAAUUGAAUUGUACAAUUGUUUCAUAAUAGUUGGUUAAAAUUUCGCAAUCUUUAUUUACAGGCAAAUGAAGAGCUAGAAGAAUCAAAAAGAAUCUAUGAAGUUUUAAACAAUGAACUACACAAUGAAUUACCAGAGUUUCAUAAUAGGUGUGUUCUGUUAGGUGAUAUCAGAUACCUUGAAUUCACUAUUGCAUGUUGGGGUACUCCUUUUUGUAAGGGAAAGGGCAGAUAACAAAUUUAGUUGUUUAAUGAAACCAACAUUUUCUAUAUGAUUGUAUGAAAACUUCGACAAAAACAGGAAAUCAGAUAUCGAAGAAAAUAGAAGUUUUCCUUAAUCCAUUGAAAUUGUUCCAAAAAAAAUUGAAUUCAUUGUAUACUUUCUCUUUUUUAUGAAAGAUCAUAUUUUUUGUUUUUAUCAAAAUGCUAUAUGCAUAUUCUGCCCAAUAGCUUAGUUACAGCAAUAUUUUUGAAGAAAUAUGCUGAACACAUAUUUGUUAUAACUGAAGUAUUCAAGAGAGGAAUCUGUAUUAUGAUAUUCUUACUUUGACUUGAAUUGAAUUUAAUACCCAAUAUGAACAAUUGGCAAUUGUCCUAUUAUGAUUUUUAGUUAACACUUUUAGUUUUUAUUUUUAAUUAGUUAGAAAAUAUUUGACUCUAUUUUUAAAUAACAUUCUUUUGUUUCAGUCGAGUCAACUUCUAUGCAACAACAUUCAAAAGUUAUUUUAAUGCUGAGAGUACAUUCCAUGGUGAAACUGCCAAGGUAAGUCAAGGUUGGAUAUGCUUAAAGUAGGGACAACCUAAUUUUCAAAACUGAACACAGAUUGAUUUGAAUCAAAUUACUAUAUGUUUAACUUGAUUUAAUUUGUUUGAUAUAAAUUUAUACAGUUAAUAAAAGCAUCACAUUAAAAAAAUUAGUUAUGAAUUAAAUAUUAAAAUGAAAUGUGUAGUUUCAUUACUUGAUUUUACAUGGAAAGGAAGGCAGACAGUUAAUAAUCAAAGCAAUAAUUAUAAACACUGACUGUCGUCUGUUGGCCUUGGGCUGUUUUCUGCAGUUUGAUCAGGUUGUUGUCUGUUUGACACAUUCCCCAUUUCCAUACUCAAUUUUGAUCUGUUAUAAAAGUUAAAUUAAGAAGGGAAACAGACUUUCAAGUGGUUUCAGUGUACCUGUUUUAGGGUGAGGAUUAUAAAGAACAUAUUAUAACUCUCAUUUAGCAUAAAAAUAAAAAUGUUUUACAGAAGGUUUAAUGGUGGGUUACUCCUGGUCACACUUUGUUCAGUUUAUUCUUAUAUUUUUACCCUGAUCCGUGUCUUAUAGGGUUGUAUCAGAAUGUUUCAAAAUGAGGUUGUUAUACAGCCUUCAAAUUUUACAGCUAUAUCUAUUCACUAUUUUCAAAAUUGAACGGUCAAGUGACACAGCUGUAUCCAAUUCUAUUCUAUCUUGUUUACCCCUGUGGUAAAAUUAAUCAGUUCAGUUGUCAAAAAAAAAUCAAACAAGUUUUGCAUUAUUUAUUUUGGACAGUUCACAUUUCCUAAAUUAUUCUUUUUUGCAGAUGCUGAACUAUAAGAAGGUUAAAAGUAAAAUAGAAACAAAAAACUAUAUUGAAUAUGCAUGCAUUUUUAGAAUCAGUACACAUUUAAUAUUAUUAGCUAUUUUAUUAUAUUAUUUACAGUGAUUUCAGAAUGACUUCUGAUUAAUUUAUGAAUAAAUUUUUAAUGUAUCCAGGUAUUUGUCACUGGUAUAUAUAUGAAUUACAAAUAUAAUAGGAUCUUAGGUGUACUUAUUAUAUCUUUUUUAAACAAUUGAAAAUUAUAUUUGACAAUUACUACUUAUAUAAUCUAUUCAGAUGACUAGGCCAUAUUAAAAUAAUGAGAUGUGGUAUGAUUGUCAAGAAGAUGGCUAACGAUUAAAGACCUAGACGUUAGCAACUAUAGACCACCAUACUGCCUUCAACAAUGAUUAAAACUCAUACUGCAUCGCAGACUAUAAAAGGUCUGUACAUGACAAAGUGUAAAACAAUUCCAGCUAUAAAAAGUCAAUCCUGAUUUGUAUUCAAAAGAAAUAAUAAACCAAAAAUAUGAUAUACAACAACAAAUGUCAACAACAGAAUUACAGGUUCACAAAAGAUAGUUUAAUGCCCAUUACAUCCAAUAAAAAAGAUGUAUUGUGGAAUCAUUAUCAUUAUAUUCUUCUGCAAUCUAAAGAAACCAAGACCAUAAAAAAGAAUAGGUUUGUUUGCCCAAACGCUACCUACCCAGAAAAAAGCUGCCUACUCAAAUUCUUUUAUUGUUCUGAUUUGAAUAAGUUUUUUUUUAAUCAGAUAGGCAUGAAGACUAAUAAACAUCCGAUACGUAAAUUUCUUUAAAAAAAAAAAAUUAAAAAAAUGCCUACCUCCCUACCCACUUUCUUAACCUUGGGUAGGGUUUGGGCAAACCAAAAUAUUUUUAAUUGUGGCCCUAUUUGGAUUGAUUUCCUGGGUAUAGGUUACCCUAAAAUUUUAAUGUUCAACAUAGUGUAAACUUUCUAUGGAAAAACAACAAAAUAAAAUGUCCGUGAAAAUGCCAUAUAAAGAAUCAGAAUCCAUAAAAAUAAAUGAAUGCAAAGCAUCCAAUAUAAAAAAGAAGAUGCGGUAUGAUUGCCAAUGAGACAACUAUCUACAAAAGACCAAAAUGACAGAGACAUUAACAACUAUAGGUCACUGUACGGCCUUCGACAAUGAGCAAAGCCCAUACCACAUAGUCAGCUAUAAAGGCAAAACAUUGUUAAUCUAUCUUUAUAAAUAAAAUCUAAGUAACAAGGCUGUAUGGAAUACUUAACAACAUGUUUAUUUAUACCUUCCUAUUUUACAGCUUAGUGAUACACUUAUGUCCAUCACUGAAACAUUAGCAGAGGAGCAUAAACAAUACACAUACCAACCACGACCUCUUAGUGGAAUUAUGGCUAACGAGUAAGUAUUCACAUCCCAAUACCUAUAAAAGUAAUAAUUAGUCAGCCUCAUACCCAUAUAUCAUCUAUAGCCUCAGAAAUGAUAAUUAUAUCAAUACAUAGAUUUUAAACGCUUUCAUCCAUACAUUCAAAAUAAUCCGUUGAUUGGAUGAAUAAAUGUGCAAGUACAUUUACUCAACCUUACACACAUAUGAUAUAUCAUCCACAGCUUUGAAUGCAGAAAUGACAAAUAAGUUAGUUGUUAGGUAGAGAUUUUAUAGAUUAUCGUUGAUCAUUUCAACGAGAUUGAUUUUUUCGCUUGAGCCAGUACGGGGAAAGUGAGAAAAGCAAUCUAGUUGAGAUGACCAAUGAUAAUCUGUUUAUUGCUAUUUUGACGACGUUCAUUGUUAAUUUCAUUAGCAACGCCACUUGCCCCCUUAGUUUCUAGUGAUAAUUUUUCAUAUCACUCGACUCCAUUGAGAAAGAAAAUUAUCAUUCAGCAAGAUCAAAGGAAUGUUUCAUAAGAUAGCGAUAAUAAUUGAUCUCUUGUAGAAAUUACUAUUACAGAAAAUAUUGAACAUAUUUAGUUGUAAAAACAUUACAGAAUCUCUCAUAAUUUUAGUGGAUAAAGUUAUAAAUGUUAUUUAGAUGAGCUAUUCAGCUUCAUAGUAAUGAGUAUCAAAUCUGCAGAAAGCAAAUUCAGUAAACAUCCAUUAUAACAGUUUCAUAUAUAUAUAUAUACAUUGUAGUCUUUGUAAUGUUUCAUAAUAAAUAUCAUAUAAUAUAAUAGUUGUUAUUUUCUUUGCAUACUACAGUGUUCUCCCCAGAAAUUUUGGAUAGCAUCACAUUUUGCGUAAAAAAAAUAACUGUAUUUUUUUUAAUGUCGUUUGUCGCGUCGCGUUGAUGCUCUAUUUCCUUUAUAUGUUUUAGUUUAUAUUGUUCAAUUCAUAACUGAGAAUACAAUUAAACUAUAACCACAAAAACAGUUGUUUCAGUUUAUGUUUUCUUUAUUCAUUUAUAGUUACAGAAUUAUUUUUUUCCUCUUGUGCCAAAUAAAAAUAAAUAUGUGGUUUCAGUUACCCAACAAUAAGUCAAAUGAAUGAAUGGUUCAUUAUAGAUCAACCUGUUUAUAUACAAAACUAAAUAUCUAGUACACAAAAUUAACUAUUUUUUAUAUUAUAUCAAGUAAAGAUAAAGUAGCAAAAGUAGCAAAAAAAAUCAAUUUAAAAACUUUUUUUUAUCAUGUUUAUGAAAUUCAUUGUUUCAUGGCACUCAAUGAAUUAGUCCCAGUUGUUUCUUAUCUUUACAUCAAAAUGAUAUGUAUUUUUAACAAAGUUAUCUAACAAAUAGUCUGUUAAUGCGUAGUUUUCUCUCUUGGUAUAUUUUUUCUGUCUACUGUCCAUCUGUUGUCAUUAUCGUGAAAAUGCGGAUUUUUGUCAUAUCUGGUCCGGUUCCGAUCCGCAGUUUACACAAAAAUGUGCAAUGGCGGCCGUAGAAAAAUUUACGAAAAUGAGUCCGAGAAUAAACAUUGUUUGACAAGAGAUUGUGAAUGAAUAAGACGCUUUUAAUGCAUUAAAUGGAUUAAACAUAAACUUAAGCCAAUUAUGAUAACUUUUUAAAGAAGUAUUAAACUUAGUUUAGCUCUAAACCAAAAUUCUCGCUCUCGUAUUACCGGAAGAGAAAGAAAGUAAUUUUUGGAGAGAUGCACAAAUAAACGACCUUUUUAAAAAAAAAAAAUCGUUUCAAUCUUUGAAAUUUCGUAAUACAAAACGUAGAUUUCGAAUUGUUUUUGUGAUUGCAUUUUUCCAUGUCGAAAUUGGUGAUUGCAGACACGUGGUAUUAGUCAUGUCACAAGUGUCAGCUUGGGAUAUUCGCAUCCAAACAGUUAUCACCCUGAGGGCAAUUAACACCUAGCUAUUUAAUCUCUUAAUUGCCUUUAGUGUCCGACUUAAAGGGAUUACAAUUAAAGGUGAUAUAAUUUUUAUGAUCAUAAUCGAUAAUAGAUGAAAGUUCAAAUUGAGGACAAGUAAAAUAUCAUCUUCAAAAUAAUUAUAGCGUCGCGGGAAUUAUUAUAGCAUCACGGUGAAAAAAUAUAGCGUCGCGGUACCGCGACGCUAAAACGGCCUGGGGAGAACACUGAUACUAGUUUUUAAAUUUAUGCACAUCCAAAUGGGGACUUUUAUGCCACUUGUUUAUUAGCUUUGAACUUAACUGCCUGUCAAAAGAUGACAUAUAAUUUAACAUUACAGUUAGGUUACAGCUCUUCUACAGUGUUACAUUUCCCCAUUAGUUUUGAAAAGCUACCGGAUCAUUGGUAUCAAUCUAACAUGGUAUUCACUAAAUACAGAUAUACCAUUUAGUUGGAGCCCAGAAAUAGUCGUUGACCAAGUCCUACCACAAUUUUACAACUGAAAAUUUGUAAAGCAAGACUUCAACCCAAAUCACUUUUAUUCAUAUUUUUACAAUCAUUUUUUGCAGUAGAUUUGAUGUCAUUGAUUUCAAAAGUAUAUAUUUGAUUUGUUAUUUCAGUAUGAGAUUUUCUUUCUUUAUGUAAGUUGGAUUCUGAAGUUACUGGUUUAAUGUUUUUCUUUGUUAUAUUAAGUAACAAAUAUACGUAUUUACACUUUUGGAAUUUAGCUGUAUUUUGCCUCCAAAUGACCUUAUAUCACCUCGGAAUAACCUUUUGACGUCAAGCAACAAUCACUUUUUAGUUGUGACGUCAAAUAUUUUGAAUUAUGAAGUCAAAGUUUACUGGAACCUGUCUGAUGUUAUGUAAUGGCUGACAAAUUUGCAUACAAGUGUAAAUACGUCUAUUGUAUUGCAAUUAAGUUCUUCACAUCAUAUGCAUUUUCAGCAAGUUUUUUUUAACAUUCUCAUACUAAUAUAGCAUGACAUGUUUUCUAAUGAUUUGUUUUUACUUUAAUAGGUUACAGGUCAACAUUUAUUUUACUCAAGUUCACUCUUUUUUCCUAGAAGUUUCAUUCUUGAUAAAACAAUAUAAUGAAUCAUUUUAGCAUGAAUUUUUUUUUGCAUUCUCGUAUUAUUAUGGCAUCUUUGAAAACAAGUAAAAAAUGAAUUAAUAACUUUGAUUGCAAAUUCUGAUAUUGUAAAGGCUGUUUAUUGACUUGAUUAAAAUGCAACUAAUACCUUAAUAUUGAAACUGAAAAUUUGCAGAAAUUCAGUAAAGUGGCCUUUAUUUUGAAUGCUAGUGUAUUUAUUCCUAAUUAUGAAGCAAAUGAAUAAUAGACAGCUGGGAUAUAACUCAACAUUAGAAAUUGCAAUGCCAAUAAAAAACUGAAAUUGAAAUGCAACUCAAAACAAGACAUGGAAAUACACAUUGAUAACAGACAUGGAAAUACACAUGAAUAACAGACAUGGAAAUACACAUGAAUAACAGACAUGGAAAUAGUCCGAAAUACACAUGAAUAACAGACAUGAACAACAACAGAAUAACACAUGAAUAACAAACAUGGAAAUACACAUUGAUAACAGACAUGAAAAUACACAUGAAUAACAGACAUGAAAAUACACAUGAAUAACAGACAUGGAAAUACACAAAUAACAUGAAUAACAGACAUGGAAGUACACAUGAAUAACAGACAUGGAAAUACACAUGAAUAACAGACAUGGAAAUACACAUUGAUAACAGACAUGAAAAUACACAUGAAUAACAGACAUGGAUGAAUAACAGACAUGGAAGUAGUCAGAAAUACACAUGAAUAACAGACAUGGAAAUACACAUGAAUAACAGACAUGGAAAUACACAUGAAUAACAGACUUGGAAAUACACAUUGAUAACAGACAUGGAAAUACACAUGAAUAACAGACAUGGAAUAACAUGAAACAACAUGGAAAUACACAUGAAUAACAGACACCAUUGAUAACAGACAUGGAAAUAACAGACAUGGAAAUACACAUGAAUAACAGACAUGGAAAUACACAUUGAUAACAGACAUGGAAAUACACAUGAAUACCAGACAUGGAAAUACACAUUGAUAACAGACAAGAAAAUACACAUUGAUAACAGACGUGAAAAAAUGCAUUAAUUACAGACAUGUAAACCAUGUUAAUAAUAAGACAUUGCAAAUUACACCACAAAUGAAUAAUCACAUUAACGUUUGAAGCUACCAUUUAGUUAGUUAAGAAAGAAAAAAAAACAUGGUAUAGAGAAAUUUAUCUUAACAAAAUCUUUAGGCUUAUUUUAAUCUUUUGAUUAGCCAAAGAAUUUCAAAGUAAUUCUAUAAAUUAUUUGAUUGUAUUUGUCUUAACAGAGAACCUGUAGUGAAUGGACACAGUAGUGGUGACAAUGAUUCAAACCAUUCCAGCCAACAAACAAUAAGUAAAAAGACAUCACCAAAACCAGAUCGUCCACCCUCCUCCCCAGCAGUUGCACCACAUGAUACUUCAAUAGUAACACAUGAGACCUCAGCGGCCACACCUGACCUCUCGGUGGCAACCCCUGACACUUCUUUUGCAACAGCUGCCAGCACAGCGACAACUCCUAUAAAGACAAAUGGUGAAGGACUGACAAAUGGAUUGUCUUCAGAGCCUGAAAGUCCGCCAGAAAGUAUGUUAUAACUUAACUUAUUAAAUAUAAAGUUUAAUGUAUUAUUUUUGAGUUGACAGUUAUUGGAGAAGAGUUAAAGAUAUGUGAAAGUUCAUUCUUCACGAGAAUACUUUUUCUAAAUUAAAAGUUUGAAGCCAGGAAAUUUCUCCUGUAUCAUUUGUUCACUUUUUAAUCUGCAAAAGAAAUGCUAUUUUUUUAAGGUAAAAUUUGAAAAAUAAAAAGCAGUACGGAAAUGUAUAGUUAAAGAUUAUUAUAUUUUAUGGAACUGUUUACAGGUCCUAAGACACCUGAGCCUCAACCUGAGGCUCCUAAGCCUCAACCUGAGGCCCCUAAACCUCAACCUGAGGUUGUGAAGAAAGGUAUAGGAAUAUCAUCUCAAUUACCCAUCAUUCAUUUAACACCAUAGCCUAGGAUCCUGGUUUACUGCUUUGCAACUACUAGCAACAGAAGCAGAUAAUUGAUCAGGAUCCCAGGCUAAUAACAUCUUAACCUCAACAUUGCAGCAAAGACCCUUAUUAUGUAUUACCUUAGCAACCAUUGUACAUUUUUUCAAUUACAUAACUGAUUCAUUAGUAUUCAAACUACAUUUUUUGUGAUAAACAAUGGUUCAAUAAUACCAAGACAUCAAUUUUCUGCUUUGGAUUUGUUGGGGGGGGGGGGGAUUUGAUAUUUUUCAUUUUUAACUGGAUUUUUGUGACAAAAAUGUCGGUUAUUGAUUUGGGGAUGUACGGCGGCCGGGCGGCCGGGCAGUCGGGCAGUCGGGCAGUCGGGGCCGGGCGUCGGCGGGCGGCAAUCAAAUGUUGUCCGUGCAUUAAUCAUGACCGUUCAGCCAAAGCUUUUAAAAUUUUAAAAUAAUGUUGUUACUUGACACUAAAUGAAGGUCAAGUUCAAUAAUGACGAUUUUGACUUUUACCGUCAGGAGUUAUGGUUCUUGAAAGAUUGAAAAAUAGAGUUUUCAGUCGUGUGUCCGUGCAUUACGCAUGAACUGUUCUACCAAAGCUUCCAAUUUUAAUAUGUUGUUACUGAUGACAAAAGGAGGUCAAGUUCAAUAAUUGACGAUUUUGACCUUUAACCGUUCAGAGUUAUGGUUCUUGAAAGAUUGAAAAAUGGAGUUUCCAGUUGUGUCCGUGCAUUUACGCAUUAACUGUUCUACCAAAGCUUCCCAAAUUUUAAUAUGUUGUGACUGAUGACAAAAUAGAGGUCAAGUUAAUAUAUGACGAUUUGACUUCACCGUUCAGGAUAUGGUUCUUGAAGAUUGAAAAAUGGUGUUUCCAGUCGUGUCCCGUGCAUUUUCUCAUGAACCAUUCAACCAAAGCUUUUGAAAUUUUUAUAUGUUGUUACUGAUGACAAAAUAGAGGUCAAGUUCAAUAAUGACGAUUUUGACUUUUACGUUCAGCGUUAUGGUUCUUGAAAGAUUGUAAAAUGGCCUUUCCAUUCACGUUGUUGCAUUUGCUCAUGAACCAUUCAAUCUAAGCUUUUCAAAUUUUAAUAUGUUGAUACUGAUGACAAAAUGGAGGUCAAAUUUGAUAUUGACGAUUUUCACUUUCACCAUUCAUCAGUAAUGGUUCUUGUGAUAUUGCCAGGACACAAAUAAAUAUUAAUAAAUCCGGUUUGCUGUCGUUGUGACAGCCUCUUGUUUUUCAUUUAUUUCAUUUACUAUUAAAUUAAAGGGUUGCUAAGAAAGGUACACAAGCUUUAAUGGUGGCAAACAUUAUACAUAUUAGUUAGUGGAUGUUAUAGGUACCAGUGUCUAUUCUAGGGAACAUUGAUAGUUAGAGGAUGUUAUAGGUACCAGUUUCUAUGAGAGAGAAUAUGCACCCUGAUUUCACAACUGUUAUUUUAUUUUAUCUUCCUGUAUUUUUUUUUUUUUGAAUCAUCAUUAUUAUAAACUAUAAAAAUCAGUAGAAUUACAUGUUUAUUUCCUAAUGGCAGAUCAUGUAAUUCAAGAAGAAAGAGCAAUUUUGUACAAGAAAAUCCAAAAUCACAAUAGAAAUAAAAAAAAUAAAGAAUAGAAAUAGGAAUACUUUGUUAGGUAGGCCCCUGUCCAAACAUUAAGAACAUUAACCCUUUUUAGAUACAUAGUUCUUUAACUACAUGUAGCUGUAAUCACUGGAAUGACAAUUUCUUCUUCUUUCAAAACAAGUAAUAAGAAAUCUUGAUAUAUUAACAUUUUCAGACUCUCUCUUCAUCAAACACAUAAACUGGUUUCUUUGAAACAUAAGGGAGGGGAGAUUUUAACAUUCAAUACAUGCUUCCUCUAAAAUUUCUUUCCUUUUCAUAUGCAGUGCAUUUCAUAAAAUAAUGAAACUCCUCUUCAACCUGCAUAUUUUUGCACUGCCUACAAAAUUUUUAAUCUUUAUAACUAUGUGAACAGCACAGUUUUAUUCCAAAUACUGAUGAUUGAUUUCAUUUAAUUUGCUUUAAUGCCACUGUCAGUUCUCUCAUUUCUGUGUAAUAUUACUGCAGUUCUAGCAUUGGUAAAAUAAGAGUAAAGAUAUCUUCAUUAAUUGACACUUGGCAUCAUGGUACAAAGAUAAAACUAGAAAUAUAAACAAAGUAGUAAUUGUUGUUUGUAUGUAGAGCAUGUGCUGUAGAGGUCAUUAUCUAGGAUGAUGGUAAUGGUGUACUAUUCCAACACUGUAUAUUUUAACAUAGGCAAUUACUUAUAAUAAGUUGUGCUGUUCUAAAACAGAUCCUUAAUUUUCCUAUUGUAAAUGCACAGAAAGAAAAUAUUCUAUUGCUUCAUUUUUUGAUCAGGAUUUUUUUUUAACAUUACAAUUAAGCAUUUUUCUAUUGAAUUUUAAUAUCAAUCAUUACAUCAUAAUGAAAUGGUUACUGAUAUUCUGUUAAAAACAUAAUUCAUUCAGAAUUUUCUGAAAAUAUAGAACAAAAGAAACACAGCUGAAAAAAAUAAAAAAAAAUUAGGUAUUUAAACAUUUGAGAGAAAUUUUGAAAAGGAAUGUAUAUAUAUUAAUAGUUUUUUAUUCAACUUUUUUAUACGACCGCAAAAAUUUUAAUUUUUCGUCGUAUAUUGCUAUCACGUUGGCGUUGUCGUCUGCGUCGUCGUCGUCGUCGUCCGAAUAUUUUUAGUUUUCGCACUCUAACUUUAGUAAAAGUGAAUAGAAAUCUAUGAAAUUUUAACACAAGGUUUAUGACCACAAAAGGAAGGUUGGGAUUGAUUUUGGAGUUUUGAUCCCAACAUUUUAGGAAUUAGGGGCCAAAAAGGGCCCAAAUAAGCAUUUUCUUGGUUUUCGCACAAUAACUUAAGUUCUAAGUAAAUAGAAAUCUAUGAAAUUUUGACACAAGGUUUAUGACCACAAAAGGAAGGUUGGGAUUGAUUUUGGGAGUUUUGGUUCUAACAGUUUAGGAAUUAGGGGCCAAAAAAGGGCCCAAAUAAGCAUUAUUCUUGGUUUUCGCACAAUAACUUUAGUUUAAGUAAAUAGAAAUCAAUGAAAUUUAAACACAAGGUUUAUGACCACAAAAGGAAGGUUGGUAUUGAUUUUGGGAGUUGAGGUCUGAACAGUUUAGGAAUUAGGGGCCAAAAAGGGGCCCAAGUAAGCAUUAUUCUUGGUUUUCGCACCAUAACUUUAGUUUAAGUAAAUAGAAAUCUAUGAAAUUUAAACACAAGGUUUAUGACCACUAAAGGAAGGUUGGGUUUGAUUUUGGGAGUUUUGGUCCCAACAGUUUAGGAAUAAGGGGCCCAAAGGGUCCAAAAUUGAACUUAGUUUGAUUUCAUCAAAAAUUGAAUAAUUGGGGUUCUUUGAUAUGCCGAAUCUAACUGUGUAUGUAGAUUCUUAAUUUUUUGGUCCCGUUUUCAAAUUGGUCUACAUUAAGGUCCAAAGGGUCCAAAAUUAAACUUAGUUUGAUUUUGACAAAAAUUGAAUCCUUGGGGUUCUUUGAUAUGCUGAAUCUAAAAAUGUACUUAGAUUUUUGGUUAUAGGCACAGUUUUCAAGUUGGUCCAAAUCGGGUCCAAAUUAAACUUUGUUUGAUUUCAUCAAAAAUUGAAUAAUUGGGGUUCUUUGAUAUGCCAAAUCUUACUGUGUAUGUAGAUUCUUAAUUUUUAGUCCCGUUUUCAAAUUGGUCUACAUUAAAGUCCAAAGGGUCCAAAAUUAAACUAAGUUUGAUUUUAACAAAAAUUGAAUUCUUGAGCUUUUUUGAUAUGCUGAAUCUAAACAUGUACUUAGAUUUUUGAUUAUGGGCCCAGUUUUCAAGUUGGUUCAAAUCAGGAUCCAAAAUUAUUAUAUUAAGUAUUGUGCAAUAGCAAGAAAUUUUCAAUUGCACAGUAUUCAGCAAUAGCAAGAAAUCUUCAAUUGCACAGUAUUGUGCAAUAGCAAGAAAUUUUCAAUUGCACAGUAUUGCGCAAUAGCAAGAAGUCUUCAAUUGCACAGUAUUGUGCAAUAGCAAAUAUUUUCAAUUGCACAGUAUUGCGCAAUAGCAAGAAAUAUCUAAUUGCACAAUAUUGUGCAAUAGCAAGAAAUUUUCAAUUGAUUGGAGUUAUCUUUCUUUGUCCAGAAUAGUAGUUGAAUCAACUUAAAUCAUUGUUUUAUACAAUAUACAAUGUAUAUUCACUUUUACUACCAACUGAUAAAUUAAAACAAUCUUUACCAUUCAGUGAUAACAAGCACCUUUUGUUACAUUUUAAUAUUUUAUGAUGUAUUUAAAUGAGUAGUUAUUGUUGCAAACUCCAUUAGAAAUUUGAAUUGAGAUCAGUUUUGGAAAAAGGGAAAGGGGGAUGUGAAAAAAAAAUGGGGGGGGGGGGUUAAAUUUUUCUCAUUUCAGAUUUCAUAAUAAAGAAAAUUUCUUCAAACAUUUUUUUGAGAGGAUUAAUAUUCAACAGCAUAGUGAAUGCUCAAAGGAAAAAAGUAUUUUAAGUUCAUUAGACCACAUUCAUUCUGUGUCAGAAACCUAUGCUGUGUCAACUAUUUAAUCACAAUCCAAAUUUAGAGCUGAAUCCAGCUUGAAUGUUGUGUCCUACUUGCCCAACCAUUCAGGGUUCAACCUCUGCGGUCGUAUAAAGCUGCACCCUGCGGAGCAUCUGGUUGCUUAUUUGGCAGAUAUAUUUUGUUUGAUAGAAAGGAAAAAAAUGAACAUUUGUUAAUUCAAACAAUUAAAGUUUGAAAUGUAAGUUAUUCCCUUACAGAUGAGAUUUGACCUGAUUUGACUAUUACAAGAUUUGAAUAAAAGAUUUAAAUUUUUCACUAUACAUGACAAGUUUUCACUAUACAUAACCAGUUUUACUAUGUAUUACAACUUAUUUGUCUGUUUUAGGUCCACUAUAUGAAAAUAGUGAAGUGAACUACACAACUCCUUCAAAAGUAGAAAAAGAAUUUACAACAAAAGAUGAAAGUGAAAGUAGACAUACAGAGCAUGUGGAAGGUCCAGUUGAUACAUAUGAAGAACCAAUGGUAUAUAAUAUAUUUUAUGCCCAGUAAAUGAUUGUUUGGGCACUAUAGUUCAUGUACAUCUGUCUGUAAGCCAAUCAGGUUAAAUGUUUGGUGAUGGUAGUUUGCCAUAGUGUUCCUACCUUCGUCAGGAACAAACCUUUGAGAGGUAAUGAGAUUUUUGCUGUAAGAUUUUGUGAGUUUGCUCUAAAUUCGAGUUGUUACUUUUGUGUAGGACCCAACUAUGAAGCUGUUGCUGUUUUCCUUCAGUAUGUAGCUAAAUUAAAAAAUUUUAAAAGUUGACAAAAAGAAAAAAUAAAUUUAUUUCAUGUAUUUUGGUUUGACUUGAAUAUUAGUGCUUUUUGCAAGAGACUUCUGAUUUAUAUUUUAUCCACACUUAGAUACCAGAUACCAGUUACAGUACAUGGGAAAACAUAUUCGUCACCUGUACAUGCUGGGUUUUUUUGCUAUAAUAUUUCAUAAUAAAAAAAUAUUUUGAAGGUAUUUACAAUUGGAUUUUUAUAAACAAGGCGUUAAAAGACUUAUAAAUGUCUAAAGCAAAUUUGUUUUAUUUAUGGAACGACUGUAAUAUUUUUUUCUGUCUAUGAAGAAAAAACAUAAAAAAUGUGGUGCAUACUGAAUAAUGCUCACCACAUCUUUUGUUAUUUCGAAUAGCCUGAUAAUAUAUUAUAGUCAUUUCUAAUAAUUUAAUUCUAAAUUUCCAUUUUAAAAUGACGUAAAUCAUGAAAAAACGUUGAUGACGUCAUGAUCACAUGACGGAAUUGUGUCUAUGAUAUGAUAAACAAAACCACAAACCAAUCAGAAGACCUGUUACAUCCAUAUUAAAUUAUUUGGUCAUAGUUUUGUCUUCAGUUGUUUUUGUUUUGUUUUGAUGUGAACACAGAUUAUAAAAUUUUGCAAUUUAAUUUGGUUGAAAUAUAUAGAAAAUUUCUGAACAAAAUAUUAUUUAUGUUUAUUUCCUGAGAAAAAUGAAAAUUAUCCUGAACAAAAAUACAACCAAGUAAACAAACUAGUCUGUGACAAUUCUGCUUCUUUUAAUACCAAGUUGCUUAAAGUCAAACCAGAAAUGACCCAAAAUAGUUUUUUGGAAAAAAAUGUAGUUUUGUAUGAAUUAUAUAGUGAAAAUCUCAAAUGACAAUGCUUAUGGCCACACUCUGUAUCUUUUAAGGUAAAUAAAGAUCAGCCAUUAGUGAAUGGUCCAACAGACGAGGAUUUGAUGGAGGAAAUAAGCAAAGAAACCUCUAAACAGACUGCUGUGGAAAAUAGUGAGGAGAUACCAUUACAUGCUCCUCCAUCAAAACCCCAGUCAGAACCCCCAGUACUCCCUCAGGAGCCUCCCCCAGAAGAUGAUGACAUUCCAACUAAGGCUGCACCAGCUGUAGAAAAUAAGAAUGAAGAUUCAGAUCAUUAUUAUGAUAGGGUACCAGAUCAGUUAGAUGUUUCUGAUGAUAAAGACAAUGAUGAGGAUAAUUUUUAUGAAAUACCAAGUUCAUCUAAAAUUCCAGAUGUAUUGCCUGAUGAUUGUCUUUAUGUGGUAAGUUAUGGUGACAUAAUGUAUAUUCUAUAUACAUCAUUUUACCCCCACUCUUAAAGUGAGAGCUAUAUUGGACAACCUCAUGCAUCCAUCUAUUCGUCUGUUUGUCUGAAACUUUGUCAGUCCAUCCAACAAAUAUUUUCUUGACACUUUUCUCUGGAACCACUUAACAGAAAAGAUUCAUGCUUGGUCAGCAGCUUGAUAUUGAUGAGUUGUAAAGUAUCUGCAGAUUUUAGAUUCCUUUUUCCUGUUUUCUAAACAUUGAAUGAGGAGUGGAUGCAUUAUCAAAAAGAGACAUUGCCCUUGUAGUAGCACAUGAUAAUAUAAACAAGAAGAUGUGGUAUGAUUGACAAUGAAACAAAUCUCUACAAGAGACCAAAUGACAAAGAAAUGAGCAACAAUAGGCCACCCUAUGGCCUUCAACAAUGAGUGAAGCCGAUUCUGGAUAGUCAGCUUUAAAGGCCUCAAAAUGACAAAUGUAAACAGUUCAAACAAGAAAACCAACAAUUUAUGUAUGAAAUAAUGAACAAAAAUAGAUAUACAGCUACAAACAACAAGCCUUGAAUUACAGGCUCCUGACAUGGGACAGGAACAUAUAAAAGAAUGUGGCGGGGUUAGAUUAGUAUGAAGGCCACUAUGUUUACUUUAUAUGAAUAAUGUACUGUAAAUUCAGAAAUUAUUGCAUGUUUUUAUUAUUGCUUUUUUGUCAUUUUGGACUAAAAUGCAAUUUUAUUUUUUUGCGAUGUUCACAAAUUUUUUUUUGUCUAGUUCAUAUAAAAAAAUUAAUUAUUGCGAUCAUAAUCUGGACAAAUUUUUCGCAAUUAUAAAAACAUUGCAAUAACUUUUGAAUUUAAAGUGAUCUUGUGAGAACUUAUGAUGUUUUUGUUUAUUGUUACAGGUAGUAGCGACACAUGUUUAUAAAAAUGAAGAUGAAGAUGAACUUCCAUUUGAAGCAGGGGAGUUAAUCUAUGUUUUACCAUUUGAUGACCCAGAUGAUCAGGUAACUGAGUAUAUUGUUAACCUAGUAACAAUAAGAUUAUACUGAAUAAGAGGGAAAAAGCACAUUUUUGUGCAUCUUCCAAAUUCCCAAUCUUUCACAAAAAAUUUCUUUUAAUUUAUGAGUUAUGGUCCUUGGACUUAGAAAAUUCACACAAAUAAUCAGUUUGCCUCACUUUUUUUCGUCAUGCUUGUAGAUAUUAAUUUGAUAAUUGGUAUAUAGUUUUAUCAUGACAAGUUACAGAUCAAGUUUAAAUUUCAUUCGGGUCUGAUGAUUUGGUGCAGAGUUAUGGUCCUUACCCUGAGAAAAUUCACUCCAGUCACCAAGUGUCAAUACAUUUUUCUCAUCAGGCUUUGAGAUAUUGACCUGAUGUUUUUUACAUAGUUUACAUUAUGACAAGUUAAAGAUCAAGUUAUCAUUUUGUUCCAGUACAAUGAAUUUCUAACCAGUAGGUUAUACUCACAAAAUGCUUAUUGUAUUUUAUUUGAAAUUAUAAGUUUAUUGAUUUUUACCUUGUUUUUAAUUAUAGGAUGAUGGUUGGUUACUUGGGAUGAGGAAAAGUGAUGGAAAGAAAGGGGUGUUUCCUGAAAACUUUACAAAACGGGUCUGACAGAACAGAUAGAUUUUAAAAGUUGCCAUACUAUAUUUGUAAUUCAUAAAUCAAUCAUUUGUGGCCCAAACACAGGGGGUUUAGGUUACAGGUUUCACUGUAAAGUAUAUUUUUUGUAACAUUUGUCAACACAGAUUUUAAUUUGUAUUGAUUGAAUAUUACAUCUCAUGUUUAACAUAGAUACUACCUCGCCACCUUGUUGAUUGAAACAUUUAUCCACUCAAAGUUGCUUCACAAAUAUGCAAGCUUAAAAAUGUGAAGUUAAAUUAAAUUAAACUACUGAGAGAGGGAAUAUAUUGUGAUGAGCGUGGUUUAAGUUCAAGAAUUGGUUUCUCUAAUUAUUUAAUGAAAAUGUUGUGUACAAAGAUCCUGAUGUAUGUGCAAGGAAAGAUCACAAGAACAAUUUGUCAAACUGGUUACAACUGGUUUAAAACAGAUUUAAAAAAUCAAGUUAUUGCUGGUUUAUUAAACUGAUAAAAACUGGUUUAAAUACAGAUUGAGAGAAUUCAUGCCAUAGCUGAUUUGUCAAAUUGGUUUUAAUUGCAUACAGAGUUAGAAAAAUCAUGUUAUUACCUGCAAUUGUUAAUUUACCCACCUGUUAGUUCCAUUUAGUUUCUGUUCUACUUAAUAAUGUUAUGGUGCUAUUACAUCAAUAAUUAUUCAUUACAUUUAUUCAGUGUUGACUGUAGUUAUAUUGUUUGGUGUAAUAAUAGCUAUAUCUUAUAAGUUUUUCACUGUAAAACAAAUUGUGAUAUUCAAAUCAUAAGCUUAUAUGCAAACAAAUUUACAAACAUCAUUUAAAUCUGGGAAUUUAUUUCCUGUUCAAUUUGACAAAUUUUUUAUUUAAUCCCUUGAUUUUACAUUUUUAUGUCAUCAGUUUGAAUAUUUUUGAAUCAUAAUGCAACCAAAUGAAAGAAAGAAACAUGAGAUAUUUGUUUCAUGGGAGAAAAUCAAUGUUUUAUGUAUGAUUAGGAAUACUAAACUAACGCUCAGACAUUUCUUAUGCCCCUGUCGUAGCAGUAUAUUGUGCAAAUAUUGCAGUUAGAAUUUGAACUUGAAUAACAGUUCUCAUACAUACAAAAUAUGAGAUUAUAAUGCAAAUGGAGAUUUUUAUGAUAAAGUUUAUUAUUUUUCUUUUAAAUUUUUGGGAAAAACUGGUUACCUUUCCAAAUUAUGUUGUGUACCUUACUUAAUAUUGAAGGAAUAUUAUAUGAAAUUUGUAUGUUUGAGUAGGAAGCUACAGGAAGUUAUAUGUCUAGGCAUUUUACAAGAGGGGUUCCAACCAUAUGUCUCCCAUACAAAAGCAUUAGUGGUAAAAAAAAUGAUGGUUUCAACCUCCAGAGCAUUCACAACUGAGCUUGGAAUAUACACUAUACAGUAAUGUAAAAAGGGUCACAGUCUUUAAUUUUAUAGAAGUUGUAUUAUAUAUGGGUAAUAGAUUGUGAUACAAAGAUAUUGAGGGUACAUAUAUAUCAAUAAACCAAUAGAAACAACUAUCCUAAAUUUACUGGUGAAGUAAAAUUUUCUUAAAAUAAUGUCAUUUGUUGUAAACUGAAGUACAUGGUAGGAUACAAUUUUAGAUAUAGAAAAUAAAAGUACUAUUUUAAUAUAUUAUUGUAAAUUACUAUUAAAUACUCUACAUAGAUAUUUAGGAUACAAAAUAUUUUAUCAUUAUUUGUACACUAUAUAUGAAUUAUUAGAACAAUAGUUUUUCGUUCAAGAGUUGUGUAUCAACAUGUGAUUUGAAGUAGCCUGUGGGAAAAGUAGAUAAACAAACUCAUCAUAGAUACCAGGACUAAAUUUUGUAUAUACGCCAGAUGCGCAUUUUGUCUAAAAUUCUUAUAUUUUGGAAUUUUGAAAACUUCUGUUUUUAGAGAAAGAAGGAUUUACUAGAAAAAUGUGAAUACAUGAUCAUGAUGGGUUUUCCACACAUGGGUUUAUACAGUUGUAAAUUCACUAAAGAAAUCCUUUUUUUAUGUCCAGGUUUAAAAGUUUAAUUCAGUAAAAAAAGUAAUGAAAACAACUGUUAUUGUAUUUUGAUCAUUUGGCAGGGUAUUAUAUUUUUGAUAAACUUUUUUCUUUGCAUGAUUGUAAGAUCUUACUGUAACUGUUGAUAACUUAAGUCUAUUUGUGGAUUAGGAUAUCAUUUAUAACAGGGUUUUGUAUUAUACUUCUGCAUUGCAGCUUAUUAGAUUAUGUAAAAUAUCUUUGUUCACAUGAAAAUGUAAUUUUUUAUGAAUAAUGAAAAGUUUUAAUGUAGAGAAUUUACAGCCAUUAUGAAAAAUGAUAAAUCCUUGAUUCUCAUCCACUCAAACUUUUUCAGAAUCAAAAAUAAAAUUUAAAUUCGAUUUUUGUCUGUUUUUCACUUUUGGUAGAAGUUUUUAGGAAAAAGGUUUUUAAGCUGACUAUGUAUUAUUGGCCUUGCUCAUUGUUGAAGGCAGUACAUUGACAAAUUUCUGUGUCAUUUUGGUCUGUUGUGGAGAGUUGUCUCAUUGGCAAUCAUACCACAUCUUUUUAAUACCAACUUAUUUGGUGGAUGAGGAUCUACGAAUUUGUUUAUAAUGGCCUUUAAAAAAAAAUGUUUAUUUUAUGUUGAUCACUUAUUUUUUAAAUCGAACAUCAUUGAUUGCUGAAGCAACAGAUUUUAUUCUACAUGAGAGUGCUAUUUAAGAUAUUCACCUACAUAAUCAUAUUACAUGUUCAGCCUAUUUUCUAUAAAACAUAAUGUUUGUUGAUUAAUCGCAUUUAAAAUGUUAAAUACUUAUUAUCAUUUGUUAAUAUGUACAAUUGUUGUUUUAUAAAUGCCUAAUAGUGCAUUUACAUAUAAUCAUAUAAUCAAUUUCUUGUAAUUGAUAAUUAUGGAUAUUUACUCUUCAAAAGCCUUAAAUACUCUUCAGGAUAGUUACCCGAAAACAUGCUGGGAAGUCACUUUUAUAUCUUAAUUUUAUUGGGGACAGUGAAAAAGAAAGAGAAAUUUUAAAAACUAUACGAGAUAACCGUAUUUCCACAUGCCGUCACUUUGUACCAUGUUUGUUUUUAAUGGAACAGCCUUUGUACUUAAAGCUGCAUUUACAGCCAAAAAACUCAGAAACUCUCCAUAUAUUUUAUAAAAGAUUUUCUAGUCUACCCCAAUUAAACAGAAUAGCAGCUGAAAUCUUGAAAUCUUCAUGUCAGAUGAAUUUGAUGUAUCACUAUAAGGACAAGACGAAGUAAGAAGGUUUCUUCUAGAGGUUUACAAAACAUUUAGUUCUUUUCAUGUGUUGUAUCAGACAUACUUACUAAUAUAAUUUUUAAAAAUGGAAAAAAGCAAUUUAACUUGAAUAAGGUAUACAAAAUGUUUUGGCGGAUUCAAAAAUUUCAUCAAUACCAUUGUAUGUUCACUUUUGAAUUGGCGGAAUUUAUUUGGUGAUUUUGUUCUAUUAGCGAAAAUAAGCAAAAAUUUACACCACGCAAAAAUAACCCAAUAAACAGUAUCAAAAAUUUCAGAAAAGUACUAACUGGCAAAAUAUUAUAUGUCUAAUCAAGAUAAUAAUUUAUAUAUGUGGUUAUACCUAUAUUGUUGUGAGAUUAUAAAUAAGAGAAAAAAUAAAAUAUUUACUUGCGUUGGAUUAUAUUUUUG